This 64868-nucleotide long non-coding RNA is filed under the name Musa acuminata (dwarf banana). Its description in RNAcentral is "long non-coding RNA (MACU_LNC004857)". Lineage: Eukaryota; Viridiplantae; Streptophyta; Magnoliopsida; Zingiberales; Musaceae. The record is from RNAcentral.
UCUCCUUCUCUUCUUCUCCUCUUCCCUUUUCCUCCCCAACGCCACACACCUCCUCGCUGCAGCCUUGCCGCAGCUAUCCUCCUAUCUUCUUCUUCUUCUUCUUCCCUUCUCCUCCCCAACGCCCCACACAUCCUCUCCUCUGUUUCCACCUGCGGGAAACAGAGGUGCAGCAGCCCUAGCUGCUGCUGCUGCCUCUCCCUCUCCUCUCCAUCUUCCCUCUCUUCUUCUUCUUCUUCUUCUUCUUUUCUUCUCUUCUCCCUCUUCCUCCUCUCUUCUUUUCCCUCUUCUUCUUCUUUCUUCUCUCCUCACGCCCCACCGCUCGAAGAAACAGAGAGUGCGUGGGAGGCGGUGGGAUAAAACCGAAAUUUUCGGUUUUCUUUAUUUUCUUUUCAUUUUGCAACUUAGCAGUUUAGUCCUUGAAAUUUUCAUAUUUACAUAUAGGUCCCCCGAUUUAUAAAUAAAUCUUUAUUAAUAAUUUUCAAAAACGAGGGAUAUUACACGAUGUGUUAUUUGCAUACAAAUUGAGAUCGAAAGAGGUUUUUUGUUUCGAUCGCUUCAAUAUCUAGAUUAAUAACCCGAGAUAUAUGAGUAUAGAUGCGAGUGGUCAAAAAAGUGAUAUUCAUCUUUUAUACUUAGUCAUAAAUAAACAGAAUAUUCUAUGAGGAGGCAGUCUCUAACUGCUUCCAACGAUCUCUCAUUAGUCUCUUAUCUACAUGGGUGAUAAGGGAGAGAUAACCCAUAUGCCUUGUGUUACUAACUUGAACAUCAGAAGGAUCGGAUCGAGAAACCUCUCUCAAUCUCAGUUUGAGUAUAGGUGAUAUUUGAGAGCUCAACGUUUUGAUCUCAGUGUUAUCUCAAACAAUCUGUGUAUACGGGUUUGGAUCACAUUGGGUUGAUUAGGACAUCAAUGACUUCUUUUCCAUAAUACAAUGAGAGUCUAAGCGGAAAAAAACGUUUUGACUCGAGAGGUUGUUAUAAAAGUUAUUCUUGAAAAUAAAAAUUUUCGAAGAAUAUUCUCUCUCUCUCGGUUCAUGUUAGCUGACCGGGCUCUGCAUAUUGAAUCUUGAAAAUAUUGGCUGUUUGUACCAAAAUUCGAGAGGAAGAAAGGAAGAAACAGAGUUCAGCAUGCUCGGUGUUCUUGAAUUUGGUUGAUGAAUGUUCACAAGAGCUGUGAAAGAUGCAUAGAGCACAAACAAUUUCUGCAACUGGCUUCAUCCCAUGCUAUAUAAUCCAUCAUCAAAUUGUUCACCGAGAAACCAAGGAAUCCUUCUUGGAUGGAUCUCCAGUCUUGACUCUGGAAGGAAGGAGAUCCAAUGAACCAAGGCAGCAUGCAUUGCUUCCAAAGUUCCACAAGCUUUUCCCUCUUAUGAUGGCAACUGCUGCUCUCAACGUUUACCACUACGUAUGAUGGAUUCAAAUCAUCAGCUAUUCUCUCUUAAGAAUGAAGAGUUCAGAACAUGCCUUCUAAUUUUCAACCCUUCAAAUGUCUCAACUGGUCAAAAGCAUUGUAAACGAAGACAAAUUUGAGGAAAAUAGCGAUGCCGAUGCCGGUCUUCUCUGUGUGUCAUGCAGAUGCCAGCUUGGUCUCUGUGCGAGAGUUGUCAGAUCAUUUCAAGAUUCUUGUUGACACCAAACCUAACCAGAAGGAAGGAAAGAGUCAGUCAGACAUGGUGGUUGAAAGGAGCUUAGGAAGGGUAAUUCCACAUUGACUCUUACUCGAAGCUUGAAGUGGACUUUGUCUACAGUCAUUUUGACACGCCUAAAGCCGCGUUCGUUGCCUUCUCCAUCCUCUUCUUCCCCAAGAAAUCCAACACACGAUCGAUCUAUUCUUCGACCUCUCUCUGAUACGAUGAGAUACUGUACCAUCUUGACCGCCUUUCUCUGCCAAUGCUUCCUCCAAGCUUCUUCCUACGCUUCCUCCUGCUGCUUCUUCUUGUCGCCAUCUCUUCUCCAAGCAUUGCAGCUUCUCUGUCAACAGUAGCAAUCUCCCGUAUCUCGAACGUUGUAGUGGUUUGCGCCGUCGUUCGACCGAAUGCCAACAGAGGAUACGACCUGAGUUGCACCAGCCUGCCAACGGGGCACCGACGUAUUUACAGGUCGGGCCCCAUCUCCUCCUUUGCCAUCGCUGGUGGAGAUGGAUUCCUGUGCUUGCUCAGCCUGUCCACGGACGUCUCCACCAUGGUCUGGUGGGACUUGUAUCAGGAGUCCUACAACGGCUGGCCGCCGGACUACAGGAGGGUCUACAGCGGGCCGCCCUUAGCCGAUCUCUCCGCCGGAGACACGCAUGUUUGCGGCGUCCGAGGCGGCAGCCUCCCCCGUCCCACUUGCUGGCGCUGGAACCAGUUCACCUUUCCCGAGGGCGUGUACUUCUCUGAUAUCGCCGUCGGCGGCGACUUCGUUUGCGGGCUGCUGUUGAGCCGGGAGAUCGCAUGCUUUGGAAAUGACAUCGGUGUCGUGGGCCAGGAGCCGCCAGGGACUUAUUCCACUGUCGCCGCUGGCACCCGGCACGCCUGCGCGGUCACCGGGGACGGCAAGCUGGUGUGCUGGGGAGCGGGCAAGCCGGAGGUGGGAGUAAUUCCAAUCAGGAUCAGCUCGUUGGCACUGGGGGAGAACAAGACGUGCGCGCUCGGCAGCCAUGGAGGAGUAAUGUGCUGGGGAGAUAAUUCCAGUUUGCCGUCCAGCCUCGCCAACACCGAGUUCGUGGCGAUUCAUGCGAAGGGCAGUACGAUCUGUGGAAUUCUCAGGAUCAACUAUUCCUUGGCCUGUUGGGGAAGCGCCGUCUUCUGCCACAAACCGGUGGUCUUCGAGGGCGUGUUGCCUGGCACCUGUAUGCCGACGUCUAGUUGUCGCUGCGGUCCCCUGGAAGGCUCCGGCCAGUUGUGCGCCAAUGGCCGCGUCGUCUGCUCUCUCUGCGAGCUCGGGAGAGAAGCGAGUAGUCCGAGAGCACCUCUUCCUCCUCCACCUCCUCCGGCAUCUCCAAACGCAGCUGCGACUCCUCGUAGAAGGAAGACGGUUUUCGUGGUUAUCGGCUCCGUCGGGUUCGCCAUCGGGCUCGUGACAUUGAUCCUCUGUUUGCUCUACUUCGCUCGAUGCAACGGCCGCAUACAUGACUCCGGCGCGGCGAGGCGGCCGCUAGCUCCGGGCCUCCCGUCCGCGCUCGCGAGGCCGCACGGCUCGGGAGGCUUACACGCGCCUAUCGAAUGCCGAUUUAGCUCGUUGUUUUGCAGAGGACAUAGCGCCAUGGUGGAGGAGUUCCCGUUGUCGGUCCUCCUCGCCGCGACCGACAACUUCGCAGAGUCCCAAAAGGUCGGCUCCGGCAGCUUCGGGUCGGUCUACCGCGCCACCCUGGACGACGGCCGCGUCGUGGCCAUCAAGCGGGCCGAGACGUCGGCGUCGUCGUCGACCACGGCCCCGGGCCCCGCCGAGAACAAGCGCCCUGACAAGGAGUCGGCGUUCCUCUCCGAGCUCGCCCUCCUCUCCCGCGUGAACCACAAGAACCUGGUGCGCCUGCUGGGCUACUGCAACCAGGGGCCGGAGCGCGUGCUCGUGUACGAGUUCAUGGCCAACGGCUCGCUCCACGACCACCUCCACCGGCUACCGGGCGCGACCCUCGGGUCGUGGGGGGCGCGCCUCCGCGUCGCCCUCGACGCCGCACGCGGCCUCGAGUACCUCCACACCUACGCCGUCCCGCCCAUCAUCCACCGCGACAUCAAGUCCUCCAACAUCCUGCUCGACGAAACCUGGACGGCGAAGGUCUCCGACUUCGGCCUCUCCCUGAUGAGCCCGGUCGAAGACGAGCGCAGACCGGACUACCACCCUCCGGACCGGGCCGCUGGCACGGUCGGCUACAUGGACCCCGAGUACUACCGGCUGCAGCACCUCACCGCCAAGAGCGACGUCUACAGCUUCGGAGUCGUGCUGCUGGAGCUGCUGACGGGCUGCAGAGUGAUCCACCAGAACGAGGACAGCGGCACGCCGAGGAACGUGGUGGAGUUCGCCAUGCCGCACAUCGCGGCCGACGACGUCCACCGGGUACUCGACCCGAGGGUGCCAACGCCGAAGCCGAGCGAGAUCGAGGCGGUCACCUACGUCGGCUACCUGGCAAUCGACUGCGUGAGCCCGGAGGGGCGGGAGCGGCCGACCAUGACGGAGGUCGUCGACGGGCUCGAACGCUCGCUGGACGCUUGCGAGCCGCCGAGCGCGUCUCUGUCGCGGUCCACCACGGUCCGGUCCAUUUGAUCAAUUGAACCGGGUGGGGUUCUCCAUUGGUUCAAUAUAAUUUUCUUUUCUCUUGUAAUGCAACUAUUCAUUAAUUGAGGGAUGUGAACAGUUGGUUGAAUAAUAAUAAUAAUAAUUAUUAUUAAUUUUUUUCUCAAUUUGGAUCUCUAAUUAUUUUGAUUUUUAUUUUUUUUUGUGGGAGAUGGUGUGGAUGUGACAUUGGGUUAGUUGAGUUGUACCAACUUUUUCUUCUUAUUCUUUCCUGCAUUGGAAAUAAUGAAGACUAUAUAAAAGAUUGACACAAAGUAAUUAAUGUGUGUGCCUAACAGAAAGGAGGAGGAAGAAGAAGAGAAGAGGUGGUGCAAAACAAAUAAUUGACAGUAGAAGUCACAUGUCAGACAAUAGCUUCUUUGUCUGUCUUGACCAAGUUGAUGAUGUGAAGUUGGGCUGCAAAUUUAUGUAGGACAAAUUGCAAUCUUUUAGUAGGUUGAGUUUCCAAUUAUGUAUUCUUUUUUGCAAUCAUUUGGUGCAUGAAUACAAUAAUAAUUAAUAUACAUGUGUUCUGUGUCAUAUUCUUCUUCUUCUUCUUCAAGGAGUAAAAUACUUCACCUAAUUACCAAAACUAUUAAAUAAGCUCUUGAUUUGGAUUGCACCACAUGAGAGUGAGGUGUUACCUCCUAAACCAUGAUUAUUUAUCAUCCUAAUGUCAAAAAAUAAAAAAAUGUCAUUGUAAAUAAAACAAAAACAAAAUACAAAAUUAUAAUAUUAACUUCUGUUAGCUUAUGCUAAUAAGCAUAAAAGAUGUAUUAUGAUCUGCCUGCUCUUAUGAGUUUUUAAAAUUAUUGUUUUGAUUAAUUGUAUAUAUUCUAAAGAAACUCUCUUCCUUCCAUUAUACUAAUUAUUGUGGCAUCCAUCCACAAUUAUAUAAUGCCUUCCAUCAUCCAUGUCAAGGGUUUCAGACAUUUCCUCUUCCUUUCCAAUCUGUGAAGAGUCCUGGCACAGCAAGGAAAGAAAAAUUGAUGCAUGGUGUUUACAAAUCAAAGUUAGAGUUUGUGAAUGCAUGGAAUGUCAAAGGACAACUUCCAUCACACCUAAACAUGUAAUUAAGCAGCAGCAGCAGGUGGGAGAAGUGUAGUACAGUUCUCUAGAACCUACAGUGAAGAAGAAGAAGAUGGUGGUACACUUGAAGUACAGCAAUCUCAUUCUGCCAAUGAGUUCCUUUAAGAUCUGAUCAUGAUCAUGAUCAUGAUAUGGUUUGGUUUGUGUGCUCUUAAGGUACUUUAAUCCUUGUAUUUUAGAAGUAUGUCAGAUGAUUAGUAGUUUUUGGAAGAGAAUUAUUGAGUUUGAAUGGCAGUGAACAAGAGGGGGAAAGAAAAAUAAAGAAUCCUUCUUGGCCAACACCUGCCACACUUGCUUAUCUUCUUAUGUUAGGUCUUUAGACUUUCUACUAGGUUUUUGACUUGUUACAAGUGCAUUAUAUUUAUUUAUUUUUUGUUAUUGUAGUUAGCUUUGUUGAAUUGUUUAAAGAAUAUCUUAAUGUCAUCCCUGACAAGAACAAUGAUAUGACAUUGAUGAACUGAAUUGAUUCUUACCAUGUUGGCUUCAGAAAUACUACAUUAAUAGUAUAGGCAGAGUAAUUCAAGGUGUGCAAUUGAGUCAUGUAAACAUAAUUCAAGUGUAUGCUCAAUUGAAUUUUAGAAUGGUCAAGUAAAAGCAACAAGCUUACAUCACAGUCUCUUCCUUGAACUGUUGGAAGUAGUGGAAUGUGCACCACAUCCAAGCUGUGUGGAUAAAAGUAUCUGAAGGAAGAUAAGAAGGGGGAGACCAGUGGCCAAAACUUGUGGCUCCUGCUGUUGAUAACAAUAAAUAUCAUACUCCCUAAUCAAUUGUCGAAAUAGGAAAGACAGCAAAAAAAAGUUGGAGGCAGACAUAAUAAGUCAUGGAGAUAGCCACAGUACCCUCCCUGAGAAGUCAUCCACAACCAUGUCCUCACCCAUGGCAAACAAGGGCAAAGAGGAGUGGAGUCUCUGCAUCAAAAUAUGGGGCUGUGUCUGUCAAACCUGUAUGUAUGCUUCCUUUUUCUCAAAGAGCAAAAAGUAUGUAUUUAAUUUUAUCUUCAUUUCAAAGAAGAAAAAAAAAUCACUCUGAUUAGUACUGAAUGAUGUCAAAAUCUGUAAACAAGUUCAACCUUGUGCAUGAAGAACAAUUGGAUAAUUUUUUGAUAAUUUGUGGCCUAUGAUGCAGAACAUAGGAUAAUUUUCUACAAACUAAAAUCAAAUAAAUAUUUUUUUAUGUAAUAUCAAUUGGAUAAACUGAUUUCUUUUAGGUAUCGAAAGGAUGUCAAAAAUGCGGUGGAAAAGGUGCAAUUGAAUGCCCUGGGUGUAAGGUCAGACUGCAAUCACUAACCUGUUUAAAGUGUAGAAAGAGAACACACAUCAUGUUUCAUGGUAGGAAAAGUAUAAUCUGCCUCACCAGCCAUGCUGUUUAUCUAUCAUGAUGCAAUCAUCCAUGCAGCUUUUGUGUUUCCAGACCAAAAUUAAAUGCUUUCAAGUUUUCUUUCUUCAGCAUGGUUUAAGGUAGAGAGAAAGGCAGAAACAAGACGUGAAGGAUCUGUAGAGGAAAAAAAAAAUCUGAACUCAUCCAGUGCCAUAUUGACUGCAGGGAACAGGAAAGAACAAGAAGAAUGGGAACAUCUUCGAGAGAUGGAAGUAAGUAAAUGACUCGAUUCAUUUUUGGAUCACCAUUUAAUCAUGGCCUACUGCUUCACCUGACUUCAAAUGUCUCAGGUGCUUUGACUGCCAAGGAUUUGGUCUCAAGAGCUGCCCCAGCUGCGGCAAAGGAGGACUCACACCAGAACAAAGAGGAGAAAGAUAAAGAGACAACUGCUUCUCUCUCUGCCCUCAAUGUGUUCGAGCAUCCAAAACCUCUUCUUUUGCCUCCACAUUGUAUCUUCCAAGUACAUGUCCUGAGUCUAUGUGAUGGGUUGCAUCCAACAACACCAUGGAAACCUCCAAAUGUGUAUAAUAGAUAGCCUCAGAAUGUGGAAGGACUUCAAAUUCACUUCUCAACUAGAUCUUCAGGUUCAUAUAAUUGCUAAAAAUAGUGUAAUGAUACAUGAUGACUAAGAGAGAGAAUCACCAUUGGCAUACAAAAACCUGCCUCCAAAUCUUUUUGCUGUCUUUCCUGGAGAUAGCCAGUCUCCUAGUGUUGCAAGAGACCUUCAAUAUAGUGUAAUGACAGGAUGACUAGAGAGAGAGAGUAUCACUAUUGGCAUACACAAACCUGUAAAGAGGAAGAAGUGAAAUAAGUGACAAAUUCACAUUGAUAUACACCACAUCUUUCCACGGUUAUGUACAUCAAAAUACGGAGAUUCUUCCUCACCACAUUUUGCGAUGUUCGAGUCACCAAAAGCCCAAAGAAGAUGGGUAAGGAACCAUUGGCAACAAUUUUGAAACUCAAGUCCUACACUAGAUGAAUUAUGAACAUCAUAAUUUGCAGGUCUUUCCCACAAAUCCAGAUUAGAAGUCUUUAUUCUAUUUCCUUAGAUACAAGACACUGACUAGUCCACUAAAUCUUCAUACCAGGACCCUAUACCAUGGGUCAUGAACACGGCCAGUGACGAUCGCCAUCAUAAUAAGCACGUUGCCCACAUUAACCACUUGGUCAGAGAGCAUCGUGGCCCCGACUCGCUUGAGCGCUGCAUCUGCCAGUUUCCUCCCCCGGGCCCCGCUCCCACCAAGUACGACUCCUCGUGCUGCCAAAUAGAUCGACCGUGAAACCUUUGCGAAGACAGCAUUAUCGUUUUGCAAACUUUUUGUAAGCAUUCCUGCCAUCAUCUCCUUUCUGCUCUGGAGCUUUGUUUCCGAAGAGGUAUUUGAGUAUGAGCUUGAUGAUCUCACCACCACCUCAAUAAUAUCUUCGACACCCACAUCAGGUGAACUUUUCAAGAGCUCUGAGAGCCCUUUAACAGUUUUUAAUAUUACAGCUUCCAACUCCGAAGACGCAACAGAUUUCUCACUGAGGAGAACUUGUCGAAGGACCAAAAUGCUGCAUACGAUGAUCAGUGCGAUAAAUAACAGAAGGAAAAUUUCUAACUUCAGACCAUUUUAUUUACUAAUACAAAGCAAAACUUCAAGGAAUAAGCAGCAAAACCGCACCUUGUUGCGAUGACAAUUAUCUUCUGGAAUUGACUCUGAACAGUUCUUAAUCUCAAAACAUUAAGUUUAAGAGUUUCGGGGAUGGUCUCAAUUGUCAAUCCCUCUAUCGCGCUUGCAAGUUUUAGCAAACCAAUCCUUACCAACUUGUCCACCAUUUCUCCAUUGCACUCUGGUAGUUCAUCAACACCUGCUAAGAAGAAAGAUCAAUGCCGAUUGUGCUGUUUAAAAUUGUGACCAAACAUAGUGCAGAUGUACAUCACUACUGAACUAGACCCACAACUACUUUGUCAGAAAUAUUGUAAGUCUCAUUUAUUAAAAAAAUCUACCUGAAGCAUUAAAAAGACCAUCAUGCUGUUUUGAUGAUGCUGAAAGGCCACCACCUGUUCGAACAGCAGUGACAGGAAGACCCUGGAUUAAGUAUGUCCAGCUACACUUUAGUAGAACAUUUAUGGUAACACGAUAUGAGCAAAGGCCAAUUUUAUAGAGAUAAAAGAGCUCACAUGAUUUGCCAAGAAAAUAGAACAGAGAUCAAUAUGCUCAUUCCAUUCCUCUUCCAAACUAUUGCUUAAUGGGGAUAACCAACGAAGAGUUGCUGGAAGAGAAUUAGCAGCUUCAAGAGGAGAUCCAUAGCUGUCAGUGAAUGCCUUCUGCAAAUACUCCAACCCUGCAGAUCCCUUGAUGAGUGGUUCCAUCAACUUUAUACGGGCUACACUGACUUCCUUUUUCAGUGUCUGUCAAAAGAACACUUAAUUCAAUUUUUUGAAAAGUAUGACAACAUUUAUAAGUGCACAAAUUCCAAAAACCAGGCUUUCCAGUGAGCACUAUCAUAAAGCAUCGGUUCAUGUCUUUGUUGCAUAAAGUCUAGAAGUUCAUCAGACAUCAAAGAUAAGGUUUCCUGUCUAACAAAAUAUAAAAACCCCAAAGAGCAUUAGGUAUAUUAUGUUGAAAUUAUAUAUAUAUACGUGUGUGUGUGUGUUGAAAUUAUUCAGAACAGGAUACCAGUCCAUAUUCUCAGAAUCCUCUCUAACGAAGAUAAGAAGGUUUUUUGACUCCAUUCAAAAUAAAUAUUCAUUAGCGUUGACAGUAGGAGAUUCAAAUGUCAUGUAAAUAUUAUGUUUAAAGAAAUUGACAAAUCUGAAGAGACUAAUGCAUCUAGAAAAGUUCAAGGAUGAUACAAUCAAUUAAAUUGAUAAAAUAUAAAAAUAUUUUUUUCAUUGAGAAUAUAGUAGUUGGUAACCACUAAAGUACUUCGCUGAAUGAUCCAAGAAUCUAACCUGUAUUUGUUCCAAAACAAAACGCAGACCCUUGAUCGAGGCAACAACAAAAGAGUUACUCUGUUUGUCACUGGAUCGAGCAAUAUCUGUCAAACUAUUCAACAUCUUCUGGUGGGCUUUUCUCAUGUCAUCUUCAUUUGCAGGAGAAGAGAGUUUCUGCAGCAUGACCAGCACAUUCUCUAGAAUAUUUCCAAAAUAAUCUAUAUCCUGAGAGCCUGAGUCAAGGACCUUUGACCAAAUAAGAAAAUUGUGAGCUUGAAGUUGGACAUCAAUACAAGGAUCAAAUAUUGUAGUGGACCAAUAAGUGUGACAUGUUAAAAGAGGGUAUAAAUGAAAACAAGUACCAACACAUUUAGUUUAACAUCUAAUUGAUUGAGGAUAUACCUGAGAUAGAAUGUCAAGGUCAAUACUAUUGAGAAUAUCUUGCUUCCAACUCUGUGGAGCCAAAUCACAUAACUCAUCUCGUACCUCCUUCACAAGGCCUAGUAUUCUACCAUAGUCAGGUCUGCCUGUCUUCAAAGAAUCCAAUAUUCCAUCCCAAAAUGCUUUCUCCAUUGUCUCUUUAAUCUGUAAGAAUGAAAAACCAUGAAACAGAAUCAAUUAAUGGCCCAACAAAAUAUAAUACAUCGGAGAUCAACCUCAGAGGACAGUAGAACAACUAUCUGCAAUAGAUUUAAUGACAUGAACCAAUAUAUUGGAAAGAAAUAAGAGAAAAAAGAAAAACCAAAUGAGUGCCACAUUAUGUGAAACAAAACCCACAGUGCACCACUGAUCAUUCUCAAAGAACUUAAUAGUUCAGAAGUUAAAUCUCUAUAUAAGUAUAUCAAAAAUAUUUUUACAAAUAUUGUCGUAUGUUAUGAGAUGGCUUACAUAAAACACAAACUAGUCACUUUCAUGUGUUAUGAGAUGGCUCGUAGAUAAAACUCAAAUCUUUUAAAUGUCAAAUUUUGGAGGAAGAUUACAAUUACCUUGAUACCAAUCUCUUCAGAUUUGAUAGUGUCAGGAUUACUAGAAAAUGAUCCAUGGCCCCAAUGCAUUAUUUCAUUCACAAGGAGUUCAUUCUCCGUGGGUGACGACUGUGUUCCCACUGUGCAACUGGAUUGAACAUCUACAUUUUGAACUUCUGUACCAACCCGGGGCUGCAUGGAAGAUGAAAUUCCAAACAGAGAACGAACCACACGAUUUGAUCUCCCUUUAAUCUCAACAUUGUGCUCAUGAGACACGGAAACCAAUUGUUUCCCCAGAGACUUAGAUGCUGAAGUUGAUGAAAUAUGAGCAAGAGGGGUUGCUAAAGGGCUUCCAUUCUCUUUUGCUUCAAAGAAUUUGAACCUUGUAUCUGAUAAAGCACUUUCCAUUCUUUCAAUACCAGCAUUGCCACUCAGGUGUCGUACUUUCUCCCUUAGAAGUUUCUGGUCUUCAAUAACCUAAAAUUGCCAAAACCAUACGUUGGAUAAUAAAUGCAAAGAUAAAUAAAUAAUUUCUGGUAAAUAUCCGACGAACCAAGUAUUCAAAAGAUCUUAUAAGUUCAAGGUGUCUGGAAAAACAAAAAAUUAAUGAGGAAACACCUGUAAUGACAGAGAAUAUCUGAUCAUUGCUGAAAAUAUAACGUGAUGGUCUAGUAAGAUUUCACAAUGUUGACUCAACCGUUACCACAUGAACUAAAAAGUUAAAAUAUGCCCUUGGAUUUGCAGUCAAUUCCUAUAAGAACACAAUCCUUACUCUAAAUACCCACCAGCUCUCUCAAAAGCAACACAUCUGACCUAUUUCCCUGUCCUAUUCAAUACUUCCUUUACAUCCUAAUCCUUUUCUUUGCCCCCUCAUCUGCUUGAAUCCAUUUAUUGACACCAUAUUUGCUUUACUCUCCUCCAUCCGGUCUCUCUCACCUGUAAUGACAGAGAAUAUCUGUCAUUGCUGAAAAUAUAACGUGAUGGUCUAGUAAGAUUUCACAAUGUUGACUCAACCGUUACCACAUGAACUAAAAAGUUAAAAUAUGCCCUUGGAUUUGCAGUCAAUUCCUAUAAGAACACAAUCCUUACUCUAAAUACACUCCAGCUCUCUCAAAAGCAACACAUCCGACCUAUUUCCCUGUCCUAUUCAAUACUUCCUUUACAUCCUAAUCCUUACUCUAAAUACACUCCAGCUCUCUCAAAAGCAACACAUCCGACCUAUUUCCCUGUCCUAUUCAAUACUUCCUUUACAUCCUAAUCCUUUUCUUUGCCCCCUCAUCUGCUUGAAUCCAUUUAUUGACACCAUACUUGCUUUACUCUCCUCCAUCCGGUCUCUCUCACCCUCUGUCAUUGUCAUUUGUCCCCCUGCCUCUCAUACAUGAUGAUGACUGCAAGGAAAUAAUAAUGAUAAAAGCUCCACACUAGUCAACCUUGUCACCAUGAGGAUCGUCAGAAAGGAGUAGAUAAAGAGUCGUUAAAAAAAUCUGUAAUUUUGCCAUCCAAAUUGUAAUUCAGAUAGUAAUGGUAAAAAUGAAAUAUUAACUUAGGACACCAUCACAAGUCACAACCAGCUCAUAUUAAUUUAAAUACCACAUUGAACAGCCAAUGAACAAAGACAAAAAAAAAAAAAACUAUUAUCAUAACCAGGCUGUCUGCUCUAAGAGAAAAAUAUGUUUCUAGAUAGUCAUAAAUCCAAUAACUGUAUGCAAAACCAUUCAAAAGAUUUGUUUAGCCUCGAGACCAAGUUCCCCAUCCCAAUAGGAGAUGUGUUGUUGAUUGUUUUGCCAAAACGACCCCUCAAAUUUAGGUAACUUCUACAUGUGGCCUAAGAUGACAAAAUAUUCAACAGUCAUUUCUAUAUAACCUUUUGAAAAUCCUUUCCUCAAAUUUGGGUGUCUUCUACAUGUCGCUUAAGAUGAUAAAAUUUUCAAGAGUCGUUUCUGGAUAACCUUCUGAAGGUCCUUUCCUGAAACCUCAGCUACAACUACUACAUUCAGAACUUGUACCAUGACCAAGACAGUCGAACACUAGAUAGCUCUGACAAGGUCACCAGUUGCUCAUACAUAAAUAUGUUAACUCCACAUAUAGGUAGAGAGCAUUCAAGGGAAAAGUAGCAAUUUAUUCAGAUAUAGAAGCACUUUGUAUUCACAUGAUUUGGAAACAUUGGUCAUAUAUGUGACAUGCAAGCCUAUCUGUUUAGCAAAGUAGUAAGUCUAAAAAAACUCAGACAAAAAAACCUGUUUUGGUAUUCAGAAACACUGAAUGCUGUCUCAUGCAAGUUCCAAGUAAAUUACUGUGUCCAAAACCAUGUAGCAGUAUUUAGAUCAAACACACCUGCUUUUGUAUAGCCCUCAUAUCAUGACUAAGAUCUAAUGGCUGUCCUUCUGCAGUCAUCUUGCAUGUCUGCAACAUUGACAAUUCUAACUGGCAAGCAGCUCUCACAAGAUCUUCCUCCAGAGAUCUAGCAUCUUUCACUUUCCAUACCACAAACCUGUACAGGUAAGAAUGCCAUGCUGAGUCAAAUGUUCUCAGCUGGCAUCUGAAACUUUGCUCCCGAGGCAAACUAUUAGAUGACUCUUUAUGAAGAUCCAAAGACACAUCUGAAAAUGAUUGACUUGAUAAGCGAGCACUUUUAGGACCACCUAAUAUCACCUUGAUUAACAACUCAAACUCCUGAAGAAAGCUUAUAGCGGACUCUCUCAAGGCAGUCUCACGCUCCCCUUGACCACUGAAAACAGCAUUUGGAUGGCCUAAUAUCAUGUAAGCACAGAGAACUACUCUAACUGGGUACCUAGACAUUGUUGUUUCAACACUCCUAGAUUCUCUGACGGCCCCUCUUUUUGUUCCACCUCUCUCUCCUGGUGUUCUGUUAGUUGGAACUUUUCUAUUUGGAGAAGCCAGAUGCUUAAGCAGAUGAUCAAUAUUCUCCACACCUGAUGGUCCAGAUGAUAGUAGAAGUGAAAAACGGCUCUCCAGCCGUUCCAGCAAGGCUUUCGUUGUCUUAAGUGAUGUGGUUGAUUCAAUCAGGAGAGCAACCUGUUCGAAUGGCAUACUUUUAAUAGACUCCUCAUUUAAUUCCAAAACCUGAAAAGCUUUAGCCAAAGCAAAAGUAGUCCUCCUCAAUCUCACAAACCGCCUCCAGCACCUAAACAUCCAAUUAACUAUGAGAAAUUUAAAGUUAAAAAUAAUUAGGACGUUAUCAACUAAUGCACAAAAAUCACCUUGCUAAUUUUCUUGAAAGAAAAUCUCCAUGCCUGAUUAAAUUGAGUCGUGCAGUACUACGUGGGCUACCUCUUUGUUUCAGAUACUCUGCCCUUUGUCGCUUUGCCUGAACAUCAGAGCAGUUUGUCAAAGUCUCAAGCAACCAAACCAUUUAACACUGGCAGACACUACAUAACUGCCUGUCAGGAGAGCCUACUAUAUGAUCUAAAAUGGUGUCUUGGUAUAAUCUCUGCCAAUAGAUAGUAAGUAUUUCACCAAAGCAACAUGUAUUUAAGGUAGAAUAUAAGACCAUAAUAUUUAUCAAACAGAACCUAGAACAGCAAGCACAUACCUUUUGAAGCCGACUUUCUAACUGCUCUUUCAUUCUUCUCCUUUCAGUUUCUCUUCGAUGGUACACAGUUUUGGCUAUCCUCCGUGCCUGCACUACUCUAGCAUGUGCUCUUUUCUUUUCUGCUUCUAACAAACCCAUCCUUUUUUUCUCAGCAGCAGCACGCUUCUGGAAGAUUGCAGAAAGUGCACAUUCUUUAUACUUGUUUUCUCGGAUAAUCCGUUGCAACAAAGAUCUUGUAGUUCUCUCCUGAAUGGCAGCCCUUCUCUGAAGAUGAGCCUUAAUAAGGCGCAUGCGGUUUGCCUCGGCCUGUUGUACACGAGAUUCAACUCUUGUGCCCAGUUCUUCACGUUCCCUCUCAAAACGCAUUCUUACCCCACUUUUAGCAGCUUGUCGUAACUCACCCAACCUAGCCAACCGCAUCUGUGACUUUGUCAAAAGGCUCAACCUAUUCAUUCAAGGGGAGAACACUUUUGAUAACAAAAUUAUGCAAUAUAUCCAACUGAAAUAGCCAAGCGAUCAGACUAACUGAAGCUUACCACAGUGUUGCAUGCAUAAAAUGGCCUUUCAAGACAUACCAAAAUGAAUAAGCUAGGUUAUCAUAUUGUCAGUGGGAGCAUGCCAAUAUAGUCAAAAACAACUUUAAGCCAUAUGGAACAAAUAAUAAUAAUAAUAAUAAUAAUAAUAAUAAUAAUAAUAAUAAUAAUAAUAAUAAUAAUAAUAAUAAUAAUAAUAAUAACUAGAAANNNNNNNNNNNNNNNNNNNNNNNNNNNNNNNNNNNNNNNNNNNNNNNNNNNNNNNNNNNNNNNNNNNNNNNNNNNNNNNNNNNNNNNNNNNNNNNNNNNNNNNNNNNNNNNNNNNNNNNNNNNNNNNNNNNNNNNNNNNNNNNNNNNNNNNNNNNNNNNNNNNNNNNNNNNNNNNNNNNNNNNNNNNNNNNNNNNNNNNNNNNNNNNNNNNNNNNNNNNNNNNNNNNNNNNNNNNNNNNNNNNNNNNNNNNNNNNNNNNNNNNNNNNNNNNNNNNNNNNNNNNNNNNNNNNNNNNNNNNNNNNNNNNNNNNNNNNNNNNNNNNNNNNNNNNNNNNNNNNNNNNNNNNNNNNNNNNNNNNNNNNNNNNNNNNNNNNNNNNNNNNNNNNNNNNNNNNNNNNNNNNNNNNNNNNNNNNNNNNNNNNNNNNNNNNNNNNNNNNNNNNNNNNNNNNNNNNNNNNNNNNNNNNNNAAUAAUAAUAAUAAUAAUAAUAAUAAUAAUAAUAAUAAUAAUAAUAAUAAUAAUAAUAAUAAUAAUAAUAAUAAUAAUAACUGAAACUAAAAAGAGAAUGGUUUCAGAUACUGGAAAUAGAACAUUAGACAUUCCUCAAAGCUAAAAGCCGAGUGAACUGUUACAGAAAAACUGCACGGUGAAGAAAUAUUACACAUGAUGGAGAAACCCAUAAUAAUAAACAAAGUUGAGACUACUGGGAAAAUUACCUCUUUUGUUCGGCUGCAAAAAGUUUUGCUUCAAGCCUUUGACCAGGAUCAUCCUCUCCUGAUGACCAUGAGGGGCUUCUUGGUUUUGGUCUUGCCUUGCUCGAUAACCAUUCAUGAAAUUGCUGCACCAAAAGGUUUUAUUUCAAAAUUAACAACCAUGAGAAAUAAGAACCCCCAAUCGAAAUCUACAUCUUCCUAAAAAGGAAAAUUAUUCGGUGAUGUGAAAGCAAAGAGGUGAAAUCAAAUAUCAAGCCUAAAAGAGAAGAGACCCUCCAUAUGAAAAGGUAAACGCAUAUGGAUUCAAUAGCAAAAGCUAGAAAGAUGGCAUCCAACAGAAACCAACAAUAAAACCACUAUUUAGAAUCUAUCUUAAUAAAAAUGGCAAUUUGGUCUAACAGUAAUAAGUUGUGCCAUUGAAUGGCUUAUAAUUAGAGAAUGACUGAAAAUACCAAAGUGACCGUUUGUUUCUCUGGAAGCAUAAACUAAAAGAAGAGACUAACCAUACAUCAUAAACAAAUACAUGAAGAUAUAGAACCAAAAAAAAAAGGGAAGCAAAAGAGGUUAUCAGGCAAAUCUGUGAACACGGACGAAAGGGAAAGAAAGUCAAUAAUUCAUCAAAAGGAAAUCCAAUGAAUAAAAUAGAAAAAAGGUAUAAAAGAUGCUUACAAUUUUGUGAAAAUGAAACAAAAAAAGGUUAUAUAUAAGUGACUCAAAGUACCAUAAAUUCAAAUUUUGGAAGGAGUUACACCAGCAACACAGUUCCCAAAGUAUUAACUAUAAGCAAAAUUGUGUAUGUGAUGAUAGAGACCAUCACGCGGAACAAAGGUGAAGUCCUCGGACAAAGCGGCAACAAGCCACACAAAAGAAGGUUAAACGAAAUUAAUCUUGACACAACAAUUUUUAUAAACAAUAUAACAACAGAAGAGAACCCUUUUUUGUAGGAAGAAAAACAGUGAUCGUGAAGAAGCAUUUGGAGUUAUUCAAACCCACAAAAGCAGAUGAAGCGAAUAUUAAAGAUGUGGGCAAACAAAUAUAAACCAAAUGGAAACACAUAACACAUUUGGAGAAAACACGCACAAAGCUAUCAGUAAAAACAUGAGAAGUAGGGUCCGAUUUAAACGAAGAUCCAAAACACAAAUGAAGGAGCUCCAUAAGAAUCGCAAAAUUUUGAGAACACAUGACAGUAAAAAAGUUGCCAAAUACGAAAAUGAAAACACAGCCAAGAUAGAAAAAGAAUCAAAAUUAUACACCAAGAAACGAACUGAAUCAAGAAACCGAGAAACUAUCAAAUAAAAGAAAAGAAAAGAAAAGGCUCGACUUAAACAAGCUAGGAGAAAAACCAAUGAACAACGUACCUACAAUCAAAACUCCCACAAGGAAAAGACCCCUAAAGAAACCCCACACCAAAAACCUGCAACCGAACUCACCAGAAAAGAAAAGGCGAAAAAAGUGAAACCCAAGAAAACACUCAAGAAGAGAUUCAAUCUUUUCUGUAAUGAUGACGUCAAGAUGCAGACACCUACCUUCUGAGAUCAUCUUGUCCGAGUUAAACCUCGACACAAAACUAAAUUUCAAGAGACAAAGACCUCCCACCUCGGAGAGAAAAUGAAAACUUCAAACUGUCUACAAUAAGCUAAAAUUCGACGCAAAAACGUGAUCAGAAUCGCCAAAAGAGGACCAGAGGCUCCAACUUCCUCCAAGAGACUACCUGUCUCCUGAGGUCGGCAUCUCUGAGUUUGGCCUCGAUCUCCUCCACGCUGGAGGGGCCGCUGCUCUUGCCCUCCAGGAGCCUCCGCCGUAUCCUCCUGGGGAUCCUCGCGCGGGAUGACGCCACCUCCGCGUCGGUGAAGUCGAGCGCCACCGCCGCGGGCCUCGCGACCUCCGGCGACUCCACCGUCCCCCGGGAAUCCAUCGGCCGACCAGGGUCGCUCCACAGAUCGUCCGCCUGGUGAUCGACCAAACAAAGGCUCCCCGGUCGAACAACAGCAAGAAUCGCAAGGAACCGAUCACGAUCAACCAAAAAGGUCGAGUUCGCCUCUUUCUUCGAUCUCGGAUCACUUUAUAAAGCGGUCGCUACGUAAUAUUUAUUUCCUGCACUCCAUUGCAUACCCUUCAGUCUAUCACGGGAAGCUGGACCCCACAUGGGAGCAUCAGACAGAUGCGUCGGUAACGCGGGUCGAAAAUGGUUUCGGUCCGUUACUUGAUCUCAGCGGCUUUUUCUUAACGGCGCCGUUAGGCAACGGCUGGCUUUCAAGGCUCAACCGACGCCCGUUCGCGGGCGCAUGGACGAAAAAGACCUCGGCAGCACACCUACCACCCCAAUUCUUUGGUGAGCAAUUAAGAAUAUGGAUUAAUAUUUAAUUACCAUAAAUGCAUUGCUGUGUAUUACUGACACCAAUCAUCCAAUCGUAAAUAAUAAUUUGGUACUGUUUUCUGAGAAUACAAUAAAAAGACUCUUAAAUGUGCGUGACGGGAGCAAACGGCGGUUUGCAGGGGUAGGAAGGUAAAAUCACUACUUCCGUCCGGUUCGUUUGCCGGGGGUCGGACGGUUGACGUGGCAUCCGAAGGAGACGAUACGAGUUAAUGCACGCCGGUUGGCAGAUGGCGGACGCCUCGCUCAAAUUACCAAAACACUCCUCCGCAAAAGGCAUAAGGUGGGCUGAGACUUCAGGGUCAGUUUGGUCAAAAACAAAAACCCAUAAAUGGCAGAAAUUGACUUAAAUUAACUUAAUGCUUACUUAACAUAAUACAAAUUAAUGAAAUUACAGAAAAUAACUGUAAAUAUGUGAUAAGAAAUAUAAUUUUAUUAUAAUUGACUCUGAUUUCUACUAUAAAUCAUGAUAAUUUCUAUUGAGAAGUGAGAGCAUAUUAAGAUCAUCUAAAUUCCAAAUAGUGUAAAAGUCAUGCAAGUGACACUAAAAAAUAAUAAUUAAAAAUAUACCAUAUUCUUCUGUAAAUAUGAUUGAUGUGUCUAAUUACAUUUAAUAUUUACCAAGAUGGAAUUCUUCCUUGGUUUAUCAAAUGUAUUAAAGUAUCUGAGUAUGAUGAUUCCACUUGGAUUCUUUGAAUGCCUUCCUCUGUGGAAUGAUUAAGGCCUUACAUGUAAGCAUGCAUCCAGAUAUAAAACAUAUAUGAUCAUGAUUUCUAAUGAUAACAAACCUAUUUAACUUGUGAAUGAUUCAUCUCAUUCAGCAUAGAGUAGUUCAUGCUAAAUUAUUGAGAGUCGAUGAGGAGGAUUAGCUUAGGUUCAGGAGAUGUUUAACAUUCUUCAAAUAAGAUUACUGUUUUAAUUAGGUUAUGAUCAGAAGACCUUUGUGUUCUAAGCUCAUUUUGUUUGCUGUAAUGGAGGGUUUUUCUUUUAAUUUUAACACUGGAAGUGUUUGAUUCUAUUAAUAUCAAUUUUGAUCGUAAACUCAAUAGGCUGAGUUUAAUCGUGUGAAUCUCGUCGAUACUCAUAAAUCUCGAGUUGGAUCGAUCGAUCGAUCGAAUUUAAAAAAAAAUCAUGAAUUAAAUUCUUCGGCUAGUUUGGUUCACUAAAUAUGCCCUUAAUUUUUAUUUAUUAUAAAAAAAAUUGAAUUUUUCAAAUAUAUUUAUUUAAAGAUAAAAGAGAUGAAAAUAUUAUUUUAUUUGUUAUUUUUUUUAUCCCUUUAAAAUCUCCCCUCUUAUCAAUCACUAUUUUUUUAUUUUUUAUACAAUAUUUUUUUUAUAAUAGUACCAAAAUAUUUUAUAUUUUUGUACAAUGAUUUGCUAAACAGAUAAGUUAGAUUAUGGCCCACCGACAAAAUAAAUGUGAGAGAAAUAUGAUAUGGAAUCCUGUCUCCCAUGGAUGACUUUGAUGGGGAUGUGCAGCUGAUGUCAAUUAAUAUGAGAGCUCUGAAGAAAAAGUUGUGGUUCUAAAACACCCACUUUUUCUACAAGAUUGCAAGAUUCCAAAUGGAUAAAAAGAUGUUGGGUCAUCCUAAAAUGCUUCCUUAUUAAGUGCUUUGCCAUUGCAAUUGACAUCCAAAACUGUAACUUGUGGAUGUUUGAGUGAUUACAUGUUUGUGGUUUAUGAAUACUGAGCAUUGCACCUGUUGUCUGCAUAACUCUUUAAUUCUAAGGAAGACACAAUUUUUCUUUUUUUUUUGGUUUUAUGCAAAGGAUAAGUUGGGAACAUGAGAUUUGAUCACAAGGUUUGAGUAUAAACCUCAAGUGCAUGAGUUUGGAUUUACACAGAUGAGAGUAUUAUGAAUACAUCCCACAAAAAUCAUAACAUUAUUGAUAGCUGCAAUUUGAGCUUAGUGAACAACCACAGGGCAUAUUUUACCAUACACAUUUCUAGCUACUACUGCAGCUAAUUAUCUAGCAAGGGAUCUGCCUGAGUUCAUUCCAUCAAAGCAAAGAACAUACCACCAGUUGUGUCUGUGGAGAGUUUCAGGUUUAAGUUGAUUGAAGUAAGCAAACUAAUCUAGGUUAUGGUUGGCAUCAAAAUAUGAUCAGAUACAUAAUAUUCAAGGUGUUGGCAACAAAUCUUGAAAUCUCCAUUAGUGACAGUGCUAAACUCAAAGACUUACACAGAGGUUGAAUUGAUGAUCUGAUCUUCGGUGUCGAACAGAUGCACAAACAUGAACAAGAUUGGUAGCAGAUGUCUUGAUGACAAUGCAGAUACAAGGAUGCGAAAGGGAAGGAUCGGUGCCUUCGAAAUCAUGAACCUUUCAUGGAACCAAUUAUCCAGACGUUGAACGAGUGAGCUUGGAGUGAAGAUGACAAUGACACAAAAGGGAUGAAACAAAGUGGUAGUCAUGAGAAUACAGAAAUGAAGGAACCAACAUGACAGUUCAAGAGCUACUAUCACCACCGACUGGUCGUAUGAGCUGAAGAUGACCGCCAGGUGCACAUAUCAAAACGAGGAAAAGGAAGCAGAUAUCAGACAGUUAUUGUUCCGGAGUUAUUUGCCUUGUCUGUGAGGUCCAAGUCUCUGGCCUACUUCCCCAAUCGACAAAUGUAGGUGGAUGAAGAAGUCAAAUACGAUGUCUGGAACUCACAGUAGGUCAGAAGAGUUAAAUCUAAAAGCGUAGAGGACCAGUGACAGAUUCACACCCAGAAGUUUUGUCCUUGGGCUUCAAAGAUAGAUUGGCAAAUUGUGAAUCUAGGUCUCUGCUGCUACGACGAGCAUGGGUAGGGUGAGGCUGUUCUUGGAAUCGCUGCUGCUGCUGUUGUUGCUGAUACAGUGUUCGAAGACGAGCUAUUUCUCGUUCUAGCGUCUCCUGUUGAACUGCAUCAACCCAAAAUAAACAUGGAAUUUUACUAAAUUUCUUCAAGCAAAUAUUGAUCACAUAAACCAGCUGUAAGGGAAUUCAAAAAACAAUCUGCGUGAGACACCCUAACUAAAAAGCUAAAUGGUCAAACAACAGCAUUAUUUAUAAAUGGUUUGUGCUGCAGUCACAACAAGAAAGUGAAGCAAGUUACAAAAUUCACUAGAAUUAAUGCCUCCUACAACCAGAAGCAUAUUCAUCAACAAAACAAAUGUAAAUUUGAAUUUCUAUCUAAUAUUUUAAAGGGCAACCUAAUGCAAGAGGUUCCCACCAUAGCAGAUUCUAUGGGGUUGAUUGUACAUUAUCUUUAUCACUACAAAUAAAGAGGUUCUUUUCAUGACUCAGAUCUUGCUCAUCUAGUUUGUGAGAGAGCAACCUUACAAAACUUAAUAGUGCCAUCUAAUCUUUUAUAAGUAUAAAUUGAGGUUGUUUGUCACUACAUAGCAAUGAUUUUAAAUACACAAAGCAUGUCAACAAGUGUCAGAAGCCAAUUUCCAAGAGAUGUGCAGGAGAAUGUGCUUUUUAACUUUGUUUAUGCUGCAAAUCUUCAUUUCUUGAACCUUGUUAAAGUAGCUUAUAUGCAGGAACCAAACUCCACUUUCUGCAUAACAAUUUCAUAUUUGAAGAGGAGAGCAGUUGUUAUUAUCUAACCUGGUUGCUUUUCAAGCCUAGGUCAACAAGAUCUGGUUUAGUGCCUUACAAACCCCUUAUGAACAUAUUGUGUCAACAAAAGUAUGAAACUUUCACAGAGGUACAAGCUUACGGCGUUUUAUAAGUUUCUCCUGAGCCAGACUGUCCAGUCGUUGCUUCAAGGCUUUAUUCUCCAAAUUUAGAAUAAGAUUUUGCUGAUCCAGAAAUUCCAGCUCAGCAAAAACUUCUAGUCCCUCUGCCUGUUGAAUUUUGAGAGCAAAAAAACAACAAAGAUAUCCUUUAAUUUCUUUUCACUUAAAGCUUCUAAGAAUUAUUUAAGCUCGAUCUUUCUAUACUUGCCUGUAAGGCCUGGACGUGUUUCUCGAGCUCAGCAAUAUAUUGCAGUUUCCGGACACGGGAGCGCUGAGCAUAUUGCCUGUGAUACAAUAAAUUGUUUAAGAAAGAGCUUACAAGAUAUACACAACUAACAUGAUCUUCUUAUCAGCCAGAAAUGUGCUAGUGCAAAUUACAUAAAAGGACAGAAAGUUGCAUCCCCGAGUGAUUAAGUACCACAUGAACUCGUGAUAAACAAAUCUAGUUUCUCUAAUUAGUUAUAAAUUGCUAGUUUGAAUGUUUGAUCCCUUUAUCCCUUUUUUUUAUCUGUGCGUAUAUAUGAUGCAUGAAAAAACGUAUGCCUUUCAUCCUCAUAGGCCAGAUGUCAAUUGGGCAUGCAUAACCAUGGAGCAUUGCAGGCCUAGGUCGACAAUCUUAUUUCAGGAAGAAUAUGACAUUGGCACGGGCAACCAAAGUACACCUUUAAUUAGUUUCACAGGCAUGAGGAUACCACAAGAUUCAGUAUUUACCAGCAUUAUUGUGAAUAAUGAAGAUGGCUGUCCUCUAAAAGAAAAGGAAACAGAAAGAUCAGCUCAUAUGAAAGGUGAAAAGUUGUCCUGUUUAUGUCCACCCAAGUAUAUGUCUGGAGGGCAAAUUCCAAUAAUGCCUCUAACGUUUAAAAAAUCCAGUGUAGAUGGAAGAAGUCAUACGGAUCACUUCCAUGUUACAUGCUAAUGCAAAAUAUAUUGUAAUGAUAAGCCAAUUAGUCCAGACUAUCUGUCAUGUUGCAAUGCAUCUAACAAUGCAUUCUAAUGCGGAUGUAUACAUGGGCCCUACAAAUGAGCAACAGAGUUUACUCCACUGCCUCCAACAUACUAUUCAUAAUUAUCACCACUACUGCUACCAGACUGGCAAGUGCUCCUUUUAUUCCACUUGUCUUGCUCAUAAUCGGCAUUGUUACGGUAGACAAACUAACAAGAAUGCCCCUUCAGAACCACACGACCAUGUUCCCUACCCCUAAGAAAGCUCAUCUGUUACAAAACUGCAACAUAAAAGGGGGCCUUUGACUGUAGGUAAAACAAAUCCCACUUUCAUUCCACAUUCAUCACUCUUUAAGUUCUUAAACUUUACCAAUUCGCCAUCCCAAACUUUGAUAAAACCUUAGAAGACCUCCCCAAACACAUCCAUAGUGGUUCUUCUCACUGUCAUGUAGGUCUGAACCUCAAAGAUGGCCACCUCAGACCCUCUAAUGCACAUAAGCAAGAAAAGCCCAAAUCGGCUAAUUAUUCGACUCAAUAGGACAAACCAAAAACAAAAUGUCACAUUUAAAUAAACCUAGAUAUAGUAGAUUAUUCCUCAUAGUAACAUUAUCAAGCAAGUCAUUCUCAUUUAUAUCGACUGAAUGACACACCAAUUAAGAAGUUUCCCCACAUAACUAAAAAUAUACAUGCAUAUGCAUAAAUCUAAACACGGUGAUUAUACAUAAGCACACAUUUUCUGGUAAGCAAAAAGCACAUAUAUUUAAACUCAUGAUUGUGUGGACGCAUAGAGCUCUAUACAAAACAUAUAUACCACUGACAGUUUCAUAGCUUGCGAUACUGGUAUAUCAAGAUCAGUUAAGGACGAAACCAUUGACAUUGACUAGGGAUGAAGCCAUCGAGAUUGGUAGGAUCAGAAUCAGCUGAUCAGCCAAGAAGACAAUUUUAAAAUAUAUGCAAAUCAUAAUAAAACUAUAAAACACUAAAAAUAUAUAAUAUAUUCAAGAAAACAAGCAUAUUUUGUAAUUACAAUAUUCUUUUAACUAUUGUUUUUAUAACAUGUCUCCUUUUUCAGAAAUGCAAAUUGAAAUAUAAAGUAAGCCCCAUUGUGGCUCCAGUCACACUAUAUUAUUACUCCUUUAGUUUAUGAAAAUCAUUCCUUGCUUCCAUUACAUUCUUACUCUCGCACUUGAAACUUGAAAUGUAUACACAUACGCAUUAUAAUGAUCAAAUACAUGGUUGUACCACUCAAAGCAGAGUACACUAGAAGAACCUUUAACUAUAAAGAUGGAAGAUCUUCACCAAUCAUGAAGGCUGAUAGCUAGCAGAAUGAUUCUGACUCACUACAAUUAAUAAUUUCUUAAGUUGGUUACCAGAUUUCUUUAAACUCCCAUCCAAGCCCAUCGAAAAUAAUUAACAUAAUCAACAUCAUCAAUGGAAGAUCCAGAGAAAUUAAACUGAUCUGCAAUAGCCUUGACGAGGCCUACAUACUCGGCCAAGGUUUCGUUGCCAUGAUAGGUGAGAGUCAGCUUCUCCUAGUGAGUCAUCACUCAGGAUGGCAAAUAGUUUUCAGGAGAAUGAUAAACUCCUCCAUACCUCUAACAAGGAUUCGGUAGAGGUAAUUAGUAUCAUAUUUGAUUCUGAAACAGAUGCAAUGAUAGCAUGCAACCAAAGUUGUUCCUUUCAUACACAAUGUUCAGUUGGCAGUGGUAACCUCAAUGGAAGCUGAUUUUACAGGGCAUUGCAUGUAACAUUUACAUCGACCUUCGGGUUACGACUUAAAGGAAGUAAAAUGAAUUGUGCUUGCCAUGGUGGAAAAAAGGUGGAGUUGAGUUUCAUAGGAAGUUGAGCGGCUAUAUCAAUACAGACAAGGUAAAUCAGGGAGGAAAUGGCUGAGCUGAGAGGAACUUUCAAAAGGUUCACCUGCCAUAAGUAUUAGGAUAAUGAAUAUAGCGGGGCAACCAUUUUGAACUCAUGCGAGUGUAGAUGCUCUAAUAACAUGAAGGUCCUUCUAGUACUCUGGUUUUGAAUUACACCAGCAUGUAUUGUAUUACAAUGAUACAGGUAUGACAGGAAUCUUACAACCAAAUCAAUAAAUGAAUUUCCUAAACUAGCGUUUGUAGCAAAGAAAUCCGCUGACCAACUUAAGAAAUUCAUAAUGUAUUGCUUCAAAAUUAUACUGUAAAUUGGAAAAAGUGAAGAUUUAGCCGAUAGUUGGUGAAAACCUUUCAUCUUUAACCUAGUCGGAUAAAUGAGUUUGUGGGUUAAAGAAACGAAUUGCCACCCUUACUGGAGGACAGAGGUUAGAUAUUUACAGCUCGAGUUAACGCUCACAUGUUUAAGUAUUUCAGAACUAUUAAUAUACAUGCUCCCUUUAAGCCACAUACAAAUAUCUGAACUGGAGUUAAAUGACAAUCACUGCAUUGUUAACAAACAGAGCUUGAUGCUACAUUUGUUUUAUACAAAAUCUUUCAAUAGAAAAGGAAAAUUCACCAAUCGAAUCGAUUCACGUAAAUGAAAAUGAAAUUCCAAUAGCAAGUAGUACACAUUCAUUAAUGUAAUCAUUCAAAAGAUUCUGUUGCAUUCAAGAACAGGUCACCAGGAAGGUAGCAUGUUGAUGAUAUAGUCCCAUGUGACAAUUGGCUAAUCAUCUUGUGUACCUGGACUAGCAUGAAUGUGGGUUACACUUAUCUAGAUCAUCGUAUGAAGGCAUGUGUGGUCAUAUUGAUCCCUGUUUAUCACUAUAUCUUUUCAUGAAUGAAAAUGUUAAAUAUAUCCAAUGGUGCAAUAUACUUAUACAUUGCUUCAUAAUGACAAGCAUUUUGCUUGUAUUAUCAUUCAAUACGGCAAGUAUAAAGAUAGGUUGAAAUGCUAAAUUAAAACAACCAAAACAGACAUGCAUUAGCCAUGUCAAAAUGAUGACAUGAAUUUCUGUUGAGUUGUCGCCUCAACUAUUGCCUAGACACCUAGUUGUCGGAUGGGAUUCAAGCUUUGGAAUAGUCUUGCCUAAGUUAUUUGACCUUAGCUUAAAACUCAACAAAAUAGGAAAUCUGAACUGGAAAGAGUCAAAACAACAAGUUUACUGUAUACACAAUCUCUUGAAUCUCAAAUUAAAGAAGAAUAUAACAAUUAAAAUUUAAUUAUAAUUCCCAUGGAGAAUCACUACAGUUUAAUUAAGUCAAUGGGCUAUAAGUUCUGUAUAUAUAUUAAUCACUAAAAUGAAAGAAUAGAAUUUAGAGCAGGAUGACUCUUAUAAAUAUCAAGGAGACCUAAUUCGUUUUGUUUAGGCAAUUGCCAAAUAUUAUAAGACCCAUAAGAAAACUUGUGAAGUGGUUAGAUUCCCAGCUGCAAUAUAUAUUAAGAAAGUUGUAGUGAAGAGGGGCAUGCCACAGUGAAAAGAAAGGUGAGGCAAUAGAUCAGCACUUGCAACAUUUGUGAUGUCAUGGAACUCUUUCCUGAAGCAAUUCCAAAAAAGGAAAUCUUUUAUUUGAAGAUAGUAAUAUUGCAAAGAGCUAAAUUUGAUAAUUCCAAAAAAGCCCUGUAACCAUUAUAGCUAUCAAAAUCCUAAGCGGUGCAUAACUCAAAACAAAGAUAGAUUUGAUAUCCAGUUUAAGCAUAUGCAGCGCUGAACAGGAAAUUCUACAGUGUUAGUAGCUAUCUGUACAUGCUUGUGCCAUUGAUAUGUAUCACUUGUGGCACCACACAAUCAUGCUGCAAUAUUAAUCAUCAUCUGUAUAUGCUUAUGCUAUUGAGAUGAUAAUUUAGUAAGAAAAAUUGAGAAUGAUAUUGGACAAAAAAAAAUCAGCCUUAUGUCAUCAAUCCAUAUAGUAAAUUAGUGAGUCAAAUUGAUAAUAAUAAACUGCCGGUUUGCCUGAGAUUUUUUAUCCCUAGAAAAAAACUGCAAAAGGCUGCAAAUAAGUAGUCCGUGGUGAGGCUUAGGAAGUAGAGCAAACUAUAUCAUGCCUCAACAAUCAACCAGAAUGACGAACAUAUGUUUUUACCAAGGGGUUGAUGCCUAUACUGGUCAUUGAUCCUAAUGAUAGAGAAAAUUUCUCAAGACAGCACAGAGAAUUAAUCACACACAAAGAUAUUAAGAAAUUAGAUUAAAACUUACUGUUUAACUCGCUUUGAAUCCAUCUCUGUCUGCUUAGAAUGAGAGUCUUCCUUAAUUUCAAAGGGACCCUUUUUAUCCUGGACACCAUCUAGGUGCUCAUUCUUUUCAACAACAUCUGGGUUUAAUCCAUCAGAUUCUGUCUGAACACAGGAUGGCUGGGGAUGAAUCGUCUUGUUGUUUGCCAAGAGAGUGCUGCCAGGGUAGCUGACAACAUCCGCGGCCGAUUCCCAUACUUUGAGUUGAGGCCUUCCAGAUGAAUUUGCCUCUGGAUAAUAAGAAAAAUGUCCUACAUCUUUAUGGUGAUUGAGUUCCUGCGACAUCCAAGGAGAUAGUGCUGGAAAGCUCUGUUGCUCCUGACCUACACUACCAACGUUGGACAAACUGACUCCAUCCAAGUAUGCAAAAGAGUCGCUUGUUGAACGACGAUGAGCUCCUCUCCUCACCGGCGUCUCUGGUUCAUUAAGCAAGUCAUCGAGCCACAGAGGUUGCUCCUCAAUGAGAAAGCUCUCAGAGGAAGUACGCUGGUGUCUCUGACCAUCUUUUGGUCUUGGGAUGCCUCUGGGUCCUAUAGAUCCAUAGUCACCGUAGGAUGGGGAUACGGUUGGAAGAGGGCAUCUUGGAGGAAGAAACGACUGUUUCCCACCGGGCGCUGAGCUCCUCAUGUUAGCAGCAGCUCUCAUAUUCGCCAUCAACUUAUUACAGACCCAAACUGGUGAGAUUGAACAAAGCAUAACAAAGUGCAACAGAAAUAAAGAAUUAAAAGCCAAGUGCUGAGAGAUCAAACUGCUGCACGAAUGAGAAUGAACGUAAAAUAUCGACAAAAAAAUAAAAUUGCUUUCGAUUUUCACAAGAAGAGAGUGUCGUCAUAUGCAUCUCAACGCCACAUUUAGAUCCCAGAAGAAAGGUCCACGAGAAAGUAAAUGCCGAUCCAAAAACUCGGUCAUUCCAUACAACGAAACGCCCAAAAGAUCGCGUUUUGAGAUUGGUCCCUAUAGAGAUCAAGAAAAACCGAGUACUUUAAGACGAAAUAGCAUAUGAUUCUCUACAUCUCGAAAUCAUGCAAGUAAAAAAAAGCGUGGAAACCGAAAACUCAAGCUUAAAAACGUCCAAUAAAACGAAAAAUCGAGCAAAGAACACCCGAGUCACAUAAAAAUCUAAUUUGUAUUGACAUUUAUUCCCAAGAUCCGAAGGACCGCAAGAAAACAAAAGGGAAAUCUCAGAACCAGAACCACCCGAAUCAAAUCGGUCAGAGCCGAAAGAAAGGGACGGGAAUGAUCGUACCAAAUCAACACGAAUCCUCGGCUCCUCCCCGAUUCGGCUCACCGGGAUCAAACCCUAAAAGAUGGACCUUUUAGGAUUUGAAACAGAGAUAAAGGAGAGAGCUCAGAGAAGGAGGGACAGAGAGAGAGAGAGAGAGAGAGAGAAAGGCGAGCUUAGAGAAAAAGGGGAAGGGAAGAAGCCGAGACAAAGACACGAGAAGUUCAACGAAUCGCCUACAAUAUCGCGCCUUCUGGUAUCGCGGAGGACGAGGUGUCCUCACCGCUGUGAGGUUACCGCAGCCACACUGCGGUGGCGAGCGCCGUCGGAUUCGGGGAUCGGACGGUCGAGGGACGGGGGGGGUAAGCGGAAACGGCCGGGGUCCGUCGAAGGUCAGGUGCGACGCACGUGCGGGGAAGGCCAGUGGCGAAUGAUGCGUUGCAUGUGAGGAACCACAACAGCACCAGCGUUGACAGCUGUGGAGCGCGUACGGCCGCGUUGGGUUGGCUCAAUAAUAGGGAUGAGAGGUGCCAACGUAGGCACAGCCCAUUGCGAUUGGGGAAUGGCACGCGCGCCCCCACAUGCAUUCACCAAGCCAUGUCAUGUGACAUGGCAGCGAGUCUUCUUUGCACUCACUAGUCGUUCUUUGGUUUCAGGGUUUGAAAGCAUAAUAAUAAUAAUAAUGAUGAUGAUGAUAAAUUUCUAAUAUCUUAAUUAUUCAGAAUUAAUUAUAUGGAUCUUUUGUUGUUAUCGUUGAGCUUCCUAAAAUAUUAUAUUUUUAUUAAAUUAUUAAUAUUUAAAGUUAUAAUUUUUAAUAAAAUAUUCUGAUGUCUUCCUUUUUAUCUCUUUGUUGAACGUAAACUACAUUGAGCUAUCUCGAGAAACAUAAUAGAAUAAUAGAAUAAACACAUUCCAAGAGCCAUGACAAAGAAGACACUGCUUGGUGUAACUACGAGUCUUCUUUGACUUACUAGGUUGGUACAAGCACGAGUGGGGGAGAAUCAUAGAUUUCAUUUUUAUGGUUUAUAAUAAUAAUAAUAAUAAUAAUAUUUUGAUUAUUUAGACUCGUCAAUCUUUUAUCACUGUUAAGUUGCUAGUCAUAGCUAUCCUAUAAAUCAAUCACGUCAGAUAUGAUAUACUUUUUUUUAUUUAUUAUAUUAUUUAAUAUUUUUAUUAUUUUAUAUUAAAUAUAUUGUGAUAUCUAUAGAUCUAUGCAAUGAGAAUCGGAUCGUGAUGAGAUCACGAUAAUGAGACUGAUUCACCUUUAAACAAAGAUCUUAAAUGAUCUCGAUCAUAUGUUGCCCGAGAGGGAUAUUGAGAUAACUGGACAGACUAGUGUACUAUAUACCCGUGAUGUGGCUGGUCUCAUAGUUGCUUAUGUGGGGACGUUAGGAAUACAGUGUAAGUGCUCGUUGGAGAAUGAGUUUACUGAUUGAUCCAUUCACAGAAUGCUAGAUGGUUGAUGAUGUCUAAUUGUCAUAUAACGAUUCCUUAGUCCUGGUGGUGUAUAUGGUCAUUAGACUUGAGACAUUAAGGAUGUCCUAUAUGUGUACUCUACUCUUUGAUACCAAACUUAUAAGUCUGAAUGUUCUAGAUCUAACACAAUCGAUCAUCGAGAGUGAUAGCCAACAUUACGAGGGCUAUUAUAUGUCGAUAGAGGAUCAUCCGCUCUCGAUGUCAUGAGAAAAAUAUCUCAUGUGUUCUUGUUCAGACAAAUCAUUGGCUAGGGUCAUUUAGAUCGAGAGAGAAAGAGUUAUCCGGGAGAAUCUGAUUAAAGUGAGACUCGAUGAGAAAUUAUAUGAGCUUGACAUACCAUGCCCCGUAUAUGAUCUUUGAGGUAUUAGAUAGAUAAAGGACUAUAGAUACAUGGUAAUUGAGGAUAGACCGGUACAAUAGAUUGGGUUCUCCUAUAUUGCCUAUGGAUUGCGACGUAAUGACCUAGUACGUCCGGAAUUGAUGAGUCGAGUGAAUUAUUAUUGAGAUAAUAAUUUACUGUGCUAGAAGGAGUUUUGACAUGUAUGACUCACGGCCAGCUCGAUAUUGGGCUUAAAGGAUCACACACAUAUGGUAGGCGCUGUGAUGAGUAAAGAUUCAUAUAUGAGAUAUCUAUCAAAGCUCAUGUUAUUAGAUAUCCAAUAAGCCCCUGAAUUAUUGGAUCAUAUGGAUAAGAUCCAAUAAGAGCCAAUGAGAGACUAUUAGAUAUAAAUUCAUUAACCUAAUAGGUUUGGGUAAUUGGAUGGAGAUCCAAUACUCAAUAGGGCAGGAUCCAUUAGGGUUAAGUUGAUAGGAAAUUUUUAUAAAUAGGAGGGAACCAAAUGCUCAUAAGCUAGAGAUCUCUUGAUUGCCACAUCUUAUUCUUCUCUCUUGAUAGUAGGCUUGGAGAUUUGAUGAGCGUUGUCAUAGCUCUAUUGUGUGGAUCAUCGCUAGAGAUAAUGACGUUUGACCUAUUUUACCCUCUCUUACAAAUCUAUGAGGAUAUAGGGAUAUACGAUCCCCCUAGGUAAAAUAUUAUCUUUCAUAUACGUAGUUUUCAAUUUUUUGGAUUUUGUACACCAAUAUUCGCAUGUUGACAAACACAAUUUAGAAAAUUUAAGGAUUUUUAUUUUUUAUUAUUCUGAUACGUCUCUAGAUAUCUCUAUAUAAGCUUCAUACACUACUAUGUUUUCUUAUUAAAUUUAGGAGUAUUAUAGAUUUUUAUUAUAGUUUUCACUAAAUUCUUAUUAGCUCUUCUCUUAUUACUCGUCAAGCCACUAAUAGUAUCGAUUAGAUUUAGGAUUUAAAAAUAUGAAAUCAUAAUCGAACCCAAAUUCCUUAAAUCGACAUAAGAAUUCAUUGAUCUAAUGUCGCCAUUAUUCAGUCGUAAUCUUUUCCAAAUCUCACAUUAAUGAAAAAUUUAUACGUGCUUAAACUACUGACCCAAUAUACUUAAAACUUAAAAAACAAUAAUAAUAAACUCAUUUUUCAAGUCAUAUAAAUCGAUUCAAUUCUUCUCUUACAAUUUAUAAUUAUCACAUUGCAACUCAACACCACCACAUAUCAAUCUAAACCUAACCCUGGUUAAACAAUGUUGGUCAUUGUCCUACCUAAAAUCAUUCCCAAAAGUCAUAAGGGGUUGCAACCCACAUCGAAAUAAACUAUCAUGUUAGUUUGGUCAACUUCUCCUAUUGGAUGUACUUAUCAUGUCUCUCAUGACGAGCAUAUGAUAACUGUACAACUUAUAAUUUCUUUAGGGCAAUGAUGAACAACACCACAUUUCUGGCAUAUUUAAAUGAUUAGUAAUGUCAUUGUUUCCUUGCUGUGCACUCUCAUUAUAUCAUUGUGGUUGGUAAACCAGUGGGCCAAUAAUUUCUAUGUUGCUUAUUAAUUGAUUGUCAACUAAGCUACUGAGUGACUCAUUUUUCAUUAAUUUACAGAUAAAAAAAUUCUCACAACUCCUGAUAGAAUAUCCCUAUAAAAAGAGUAGGUUUUUUCGGUAUGAAUAUAGCAAACUAAAAAUCAAGCAAAAUUAUUUUUGUCUUGAGUAAUUUUAUUCUCUAGACAUCGUCGAUGAAAUCUUUUUGAUGCUUAAAUUAAUAUAUAUGUGAUGUGAAAAAUUUAUCGAUGUAUAAUUUUAUACUUGUGAUGAUCAUAUUAUAGGGUUAUGGUAUAUGUUCAACAAAUAUUUAUUUAUUUUAUUAGAUUUACAAUUUGAUGUAAUAUGAUAAAUAAUCUCUUUAAGUAUUUAAAAAUAAAAUUAUAUAUAUUAAUUAUUUCUAAAUUAACCAUAGCCUUAUGCACAUGUGAAUGUUAAGAUAAUGAUAAUAAUAAUAAUAAUAAUAAUAAUAAUAAUAAUAAUAAUAAUUAUAAUUAUUAUUAUUGUUAUUGUUGUUGUCGUCGUCGUCGUCGUCGUCAGUAGUAUUGUUGUUGUUAGUGUUUAUUUAAUGCCACAUGACGUUGGCUACGGCUACUCCAAGCACAGGUCAGCAUCUGCUCUCGUUGACCACGACUCCCCUUCUCCAAUGGCGGACUGCGAAGGACUGGCGGCCUGAUCCAAGGUGAAUGAGGCCGGGGGAGGACAAAGGAGGGAUGAGCAAAGAAGAAGAAGAAGAAGAAGAGGAGGAGGAGGAGGAAGAGAAGACGAAGAAGAAGACUAAGGAUAAGGAUCGCUCUGCGAUAAGGUUGGCCGUCGAGGAGCUCUCCCUGGUCGAGCAUCAGGGGAAAGCUUCUACCUUGGCCUUUCUCGCCGUCUCCAACCUGCUCUUGCAAUUCCUUGGUACGCAUCUUCUUUCUCUCUCCCUCUCUCUCUCUCUCGUCUCUCCUCUUCUCUAGGGAUUCUCAUGUAGAACUACACGGCCAGGAAGAUUUAGCUUCUUUGCCAUCUAAUCAUCGUCUCUUCCUUCCCAAUUUAGUGGUUUCGGUUCAUCGAGUAAAUGACCUACGGAUAUCCAUGGAUAGAUUUGAAAGGCCGUGAUUUCUGAAACAUCUACCAUCACCUAAUUGGAUAUACCGAAUCUAUAGCUCCUGCAAUAUGCUUUUAUGGAACUGAGAACAUGUAAAGAGUGAAUUCGAACGGUUGUGUGAAUCGAUGGAUUACUGGUGUGCGUGCAGAUAAGAUUGGACCGACCGUGGCCGUCCUGAGGCACGACAUCCGGCGGAAUAUCGAGGUAAAUCCAUACCAUUGUUUUACUUUUCUCCCUACUCUGCAACCUUUCGAGUCUCUAGUGUUAUCCAAAUUGUUGUAAGAUUGUGCCUUUUCCCUCUCCUUAGUGCGCAGGACAUGUGUUCGACACAAUGUGGUUAACACCUCGUUCAUAAGCUUGUGGUUUGGAUUGAGAAGUAAGGCAUAUACGGGUCCAAUUUAUUGCUAAUGCGAACAUAAUCAAUUAACUCUUCCAAUUCACUGGCUAGCAGUCACCUUUUCUUUUUCACCUCAGAGAUAUAAGUCUUUCCUUGUUUUCAUUCUGAAGGAUGUGAAAACUAGGAAAUGUGCAGGUUUUAAUCCGUUAGAAGGGUGCUUGUCAGCCUUAUUUACCUGCUAAAUGGAAGAACGUUUUUGGCUUUGAGAUGAGAAUAAGAUCUAAGCCAUACGACAAACAAAUUGAGAACAAAAUUGUCAUAUGGUGGUCGGAUCUUUUAUUAGCGGUCCAAGGCCGGUGUAAUUUAUCGCUGAUGUGUAGUCUCAUCUGCUCCUGUUCGACACCUUUGUCCAAUUUGAAACAUCAAUAUCCUUCUUUCUCUGGGACCAUUUGAUGCUUGUGUCUUCCACACAGUACCAACCUAGGGUCACCAAAAUAAUACAAUGACCACCAGAGGGUGACAGCAACCUCAUCCCAACCAAGCAGGAUCUGCUGCAAGGAAUCUGGGAACUGAGUUCCUUGAAACUUCAACAUCCUCAUGCCAUAUGUUCUUUGUCAGUACCACAUACAGCAAACUGGAUAAUUUCAUUAUUUUCUAAAAUGUCCUUCUAGGGUUAGUGAUGAGCGUUAAUUAUCAACUCUGAUCCAUAAAGUCUGAUGUGCUUAUUAUAUACGGCAAUACCUCAUGUUGUACAUGGUUUACAAGCUCAAUCAUCAUUUCACAAAUUUUGUCAUUGGUAGGCCUUGGUAUUCUAAGUACUGCAAGUUACUUUUAUAACAUCAAGUAAAAUAUGCUUUAAAGUCAUGAAGCACACAACCUAUACUAUUUUUUUUUCUUGAAUAGUUAAAUUCCAAAUAAAACGAUUUCACUGACAUAAUCAGACCACAGAUAUCAAAUAUUGUUAGAAACAAAAGAAAAUGUUCAUAUUGCACCACAUAAGUGGCAUUUAGUAUAUGUGUCAGCAUGACACUAAUUUGCUAGGAUGCAGCAAUUGCCUACAUGACCAUGUUAACGUGCCAAGAAUUGCUACUUCUAUAGAGAUUGGAAGAUGUAUACGUUUUGGACGCAUCGGGUUACUCAAGUUUGGUAGAUAUAAUCAAGAAAGAAGUGAGCGAGGGAACUGCAAGGAAGUCUGAUAGCUGUACAAGAGCUACAUUAUGGCUUACUAGGUACAAGGUUGACGACCUUUCCAAUGCUUUCUUCUUUCCUGCUUAUGCCUGUCCAUGGAAUUUCAACACUCAUUUCUGUAUAUCGUUUGAUGUUUUUUGGCAUUUUUCACGAGUGCACUAUUAUCUCUCAGAAAUUCCAUGAACACUUUUUUCUGGAGAAAUUAAAAGAGUGUGCUCUUCCAUCCUCCAAAAUUCAUAUUUCUCCUUGGAUUUAUUAGUAUGAAUCUACUAACUAUAGCUUAAUGUCUCAACGCAAUAUGACACUAUAUAGAUAUUAUAUUCAUAAACAUUAUACUAGUUGUAAAACUUAUGGUGUUCAUUUUCUACUUCUAUUUUUAUAAAUGUAUUCUGAGUUUCAAACAUUGUACAUAUGGCUCUAGAUAUUGCAUAUCUGAUUAAACCACCACAAUAAAUUAUUCACUUGAAAAUUUGUGCCUAUAAUUGAUACUGUGGAUACAUGUUCUUAAUCAUCAUUACAUCAAUAUCAUGAUAAAUAACAUAUAUUUUGGUUUCAUAUGCUAUGAUAUAUAAUGUAAAUAUCAUGUUUUUCAUUGUGGUAUUUACAACUUAAACAUUAUACACUCUGUGAUGAGUAUGUUAAUUCUUUUAUAAUGUGAUAUGUUUGUACAAUGAUACAUAAUAUAUAUUGGUUUCAUAUACUAUAUAUAGAAUGCAAGUAAUACGCUUCUUAACACAGCACGUAUAGGUAAAAGCUUGAUAUGCAUUGCAAUGAUUGUGGUGGCAAUGAUGAUAGGUUUGAUAUAUUUGUAAAGGGUAUGAUGCCACUAGCUAGAGGUGAUUGUCAAAAUGAUGGUGCUAGUGGAGAUGACAAAGUGAUUUGGUGAUAUUGAUGAGAAGUGUGUGGUAGCCAUGACAUAUGUGGUGGUAUUAGCAACGACAUCAUCGUGAGAGGCAAGUCAAUGUCAGGAGCAGUAGUAAAGGUGAUGAUGAGAAUGAUGCUAGUGUGAGAAACUCAUAGGACGAUUUGUAAUGAUGAUCGUCUAUGAUGAGGAGGCAGCAUACAAGCCAAGGAGGUGGUGCUAAUAGUGUCAUUGUGGUAAAAAAAGAUGACAAAAUGGGAAAAAGAAGGCGACAAAUAUAUUUUCCAUAUAACAGGUGUUUUUUUUUUACAAAUCCGUCUCUACCUUUUGAUUGAUGGUUUCAAAUCCCACUAGUCCUUUUAAAACCACAGGUGUUGAUAUCCAUUUAUAGUUUCAUAUUAUAGAAUCCAAAGGCAAUUUACUUUUUAGAGGACAUGAGACAUGUACCUGCGAUUUCUCCAACAGGACAAUUGUGGCAUUUCUGAAAGAUAACGACACCUUCAUGCAAAUUGUUCAAUUUUUUAUUUCUGUUGGUUACAUCUUUCUGGUUUUCUAUAUGAAAAGCUUUAAAUAAAUAUAUUAUCAUAAUUCUUUUGCCUUUGUUAAGCCAUUAUGUUCUCUAGCAAAUCCAUGUGCCAUCCUGUCAACUAGUGUAUUGUUGUUAUAUUGCUGGUGCCUCUCAUACUUCAGAUGUUUUUUAUAUCAGGUCCAUGGAUUUUAGUGUUGCACUACUAGAGAUACUAAAUAAGGAUUCUGAAUUGAGUCUUCAACAAGUUGUUGAAGAAGCAUAUAAGACUACACUAAAACCAUGGCAUGGUUGGAUCUCAUCUGCUGCUUACAAGGUAGUGAAUGUAUCCAUUUGAUGUCUAAAGUUUUCUCUUGUUGCUAGAAUGCACUUUUAAAUACUCUACUGUGAUCCUUGUCUUUGUCGUAUAUAAUAGAGGGAGUAAUUGCACUGUUGGCCUCAGCAUUACACCUUGAUAUUUAAUACUAUAUAUCUUUUUGUCAAUUUUAUCCAUAUACUGAUUAUAUAUUAACCAAGUUGGUCCUUUCAUCAUAGAUUUGCCCAUAUGGUUAAUGUCGUUGUUUGGCCAGAUUAAAAUACGCCAUCACAUCUUUCUUCUCUUCCCAUCCUCCUCUUCUAACUUCUCCUAGUAAUUUUUUCCCUCAUUUGCCACCACCAAACUCAAGCACCUGACCCACAAAAAGAACAGCAAAGCAAAAAGGGAUGAGGGAGGGGUCCAUACCACCUCAUUGUUUUCAGAUAAGCUCCAUGAGUGAUGUUUAAUAAUUAUUCAUUUGUUUUCCUUUGUAACACGAAACAGACUCUACAGAAGCAUGCUAAAAGAAAAUUCUUAUCAGUAUAUUUAAGUUUUUAUUUGCAAAGACAAUUCUAUAGAAAAAUUCUGUUUGAGAAAUAUUUUGGCGCUGUGUCAAGCGAACUCAUGAAGCUUAAGGGGAGCAAACAACAUAUUAGUGUGUUCUUUUCAGCAGAUCAGUUUGUUUUCAUUAAGCCCAAUAUACUUAGGUGCAACUUAGUGUCAAUUCAUAAGUACAAAGCCCUCUUAACUCCAGAAUGCAGAUUUUGUCAAUGAAGUUCCAAAAUGUUGUGUUUAAAACUGCUCUCGGAGUAGGUUGUCUGGAAUUUGGGAUUGUGUGUUUGUUCUUCUUUGAUCAAAGUUGAGCAGAAAAGGAAAUGAAAAAUUAUCUGAUCAACAGGUAGCUUUGAAGCUCAUCCCAGAGAAGAAACUAUUCAUCAGCUUGCUAAUGGGUAAGGGGCAAGAUCAGAACAUGUUGAAGCCCGAUAUCCAGAACCUGGUCUCAUUAGUUCAGCCUCUUCUAACUGAUAUCCAUGCCAACUUGGUUAGUGUGCUUCUUUUUCUAUUGGAUAAUUCUUUUCAGUAACCACCAGUGAGUUUAUUAAUAAGCUGAUUGUAAUGCCUUUUCAUUCUUGAAAAUACAGAAAAAGCUUCGGCUCGACAGAUUGAAGUCGACCUAAAACACGAAAUCCAUCUCGAUCAAUCUUCAUGUACAUUCUCCAACUUUUUCCUGUAAUUAUCUCUGAAUCCCUUUUUUUUUCUUGUUCUGUAUAUUUAAAUCAGUUUCAGUUUUCUUGAUAGUCAUGCAACCUCAUCUGCAACCAGGAAUCAUGUGAUGUUACUUAAAUGGCAGAAAAGCAUAUCUGUUUUAGCAACUAUCAUAUUGUGCAAUGUAUAUCCUGCGUAAGAAAUUUGCUUUUUCUUGAUCAUUGUGAUUUUUUUAACGGACAAAUAAUUCUGACAAAGUUAUCUUAAGCCAAGAAUUGGAUUUACAGGUAGAAAAUCUGCGGAUGACCAUUGGAUUCUUCCUCGAUUUGUGAUCCUAAUCUUUUUUGUUGUGUAAAUAUGGAUGAGAAGACGUAACUAUGGGAAGGUAGCGUAGUAGAUUUAGUGCAUGCAUACACAUCCAGCUCGAGAACAACGGUGUCAUAGUGCCCUUAUAAGUCUUGGAGAGGACGUAGCUGCGGGCCAUGCAGAACGGCUCGCUCCCUCCCACCACCGGCAGCUCCGCCGCAUCCGGGAGCUUCGGGUAGAUGGAGGAGACGGCAAGCGAGCCGCAUUUGUCAGGCUCGCCGUUACUAUGGGAGGCCACGACGUGGGAGCCCCGAGCGCGUCCGACGAGCUUCGACGUGAGGCCCGGCCAUCGGGCCAGCGGAUCAUCGACGACGAUGGUGUUCCCGUAGUAAGACUUCGGUUUCGAUUUCGGUUCAUAUUUUCGAUUCAUUUUGGUUUCGGUUCAGGACCGGUUCGGUCCAAACCUAAUAAGGUAGCCCAAUAAGCCUUUUCCCGUUCUCAGCGGCAAUCUCGUGAUUCGAGCGCCAGAAAACCCUCCGUCGAUUCCGUUCGCCUGUGACCAUCCUCAGUGGCAAUCUUGUAAUACGAUGGCCAUCAACCCUAGGUUGAUUCCGUUCGCGCACCUAUAUAACCCCGAGAUACCGGCGACGCCCGGUCUCCUCUGUCGUCACAUCGCGUCGCAACUCGAGCCCUUCGAAGAUGUCGAAGCGAGGUAGGACUCCCAUCUCCGUUUGGAUUGCUAUUGAUUCUUUUGUUGCUUCUGCGAUCCGGCUUCUAUUCGAGAACCAGUCGAGAUCCAAGGUUUAGGGUUUUAUGUGGAGUUGUUUGACCGGGAUUUGCUUCGGCGGGGUUUGCUUGCAGGGCGCGGAGGAACGGCGGGGAACAAGUUCCGGAUGUCGCUGGGUCUGCCGGUGGCAGCGACGGUUAACUGUGCCGAUAACACGGGGGCGAAGAACCUUUACAUCAUCUCCGUGAAGGGGAUCAAGGGCCGUCUUAACCGCCUUCCCUCCGCUUGCGUCGGGGAUAUGGUCAUGGCCACCGUAAAAAAGGGCAAGCCCGACCUGCGGAAGAAGGUCAUGCCCGCCGUCAUCGUCCGCCAACGCAAGCCAUGGCGCCGAAAGGACGGCGUCUACAUGUAUUUUGAAGGUUUGUUGAAUGGCUUCCAUUUGCAAGUUCUUUAUAUUGUUUUCUAAUUUGGUUGUGAGCCUUUUAAUGCUUUCGUUACAACUUUGCCGAUGACGUGUUCUUUAUGAUUACAUCCGGCAAGAUAGAUAGCUUCGAACUGUAGUAUAUAGAAAUUCCUUUAUCUUGUCAAGUUAAUUGAUGUAGAUGUUUGAGAUAAUAUUGACAUGAUAUAAAUGUUGGUGAUAAUCUUCUACAUAGUUGAUUUACUUGAUCAAUAUCAUUCUAUAUACUAUAUAGUAGGUUUACCUGAUCAAUUUAUUACAAGCUUGCAAAAAUUGUUAUGAAUUUGAGAUGAAAAAUUUAUUAUCUUUAUAUGUGACUGUAGGAUGAGUGUGAAAUUUCAUCGCUUUUAACUGUCCAUAUAUUCAUUUUGUUAGAGGAAAAUAAAUGUUUACCGGUUUUGGUUUUCCUAGAGUAAAGAGAGCUGUUUACAUUCUGGGAGAGCGGCACUCAGCUGUAUCAAGGCUUAAUAUGGUUUAAAUCUGAAAGUGCUAAUGCUUUGCUCAGGCUCCAUUCUGCAAAAAGAUCUGAACCCAUUUCAGAUUGUAUCAGAUAAUCUGGAAUAUAGUGUUGUUGAAAAGUCUAGGUGCUUUAAAAUUGCUAGGUAUUAUACAUGUCCAAAUUAUGGUUUCCUUGGAUUUUCACAGAGGAGCUCAGAAGUGAUACCUCUUUAAGGUGAUUCUGGAGUGCUUCACAUUUAGUUGGAUGACCACACUGGUCUUCAGAAGUAGGUAUCUGGUCUUUUUGUCGUUUUAGCUUUUGGUUUUCUGCCCAUCACACUCUCCCUCCCGAUAUUUUUGGGGUCUUGGUCUGAACUGUUACACUAUUCAGUAUGGUGUUUGUUUGUCCUUCCAUUUCCUUGAAUGCUUAUCUAUAUUAAUCUGCAAUAUUUUUGUCAUCUAGUCACUAACAUUGUUUAUGUAUAUCAUAUGCUUUUAGUAUCUAGUCAUUUACCAUUUGCUGGUUUUGUGUUGCAAGCCUUUUUCUACAACUGUGAUGAUAUAUUUGCAGAUAUCAUAAUCUACCAGUUUUGAGAGAAGAUCAUUUCAUUAUGUGAUGGGUUUAUCACUUUGAAUCUCAUAGUGCAAACAUAUUGCUUUUCUUAAUAUUCUAGGUGCAAAGCACGAACUUCAGAGUAUCUUUUGUUUUUUUGUCAGAAAUGCCCAUUGUUCCCUUUUAUACUUCCAGCCAUUUAAUGCUUUGACCUUCCAUAUUAUACAGAUAAUGCUGGAGUGAUUGUUAAUCCCAAAGGUGAAAUGAAAGGUAUGUUUGAUGAAGCACAGAUAUUCUUUUCACUCCAAAAGAUGAAAAAGCUUAAUUCCUUAAUGAUAUAAUAAGCCAAGUGAAAUCUUAAAUUUUGGCAAAAUGUCUUGCUUACUGUACCUCAACUUUAUUGCCAUGAAACAAUCGAUACUUUUUUAGUCAAAACAUGCUAUUACCAUAACAUAUUUUCCUUUCACGGUCUAUUUCAGUUCUUGUUGUUUCGAGGGCUUGAACUUAAUAGUAUUCUGUUAAUUGUCAUAUUUGCUGCAGGAUCUGCUAUCACUGGACCCAUCGGGAAGGAAUGUGCAGAUCUGUGGCCGAGGAUUGCCAGUGCAGCAAAUGCUAUCGUGUAACAUGAUGAUGCUUAAGAUCAACAGCUGAGGUUUUGGAUUAUGAUUAUAUGUUUCAAGAGAUAGGUAUCAUGUUGUCUUAUUUGGUUACUGGUUAGCUGAUGUUUACUAGGUGUUCAACUUUAUGGAUCUGAUGUUCAGCUGUUGCUGGAGACAUUUUAAUUCUACUUGAUCUAUUUAUGAUGUGCUUCAGAAAGAAACUGAGAAAUUAUUGAUGUUCUAAUCUUAUGGAAGUGACAGAAAUGAUAGGUUGAACUGUGAUGGGAACUGAAAUUCCAGAAUAAUAAAGUUUAAUUUGAUAUAUUUGGUUUAUGUACUAGGACAUCAGAGUCAGAAUGGUUGCACAGUUGGUUUAUGGCUCUUCAAUGAUCAAAAUCAGGAUUAACUGUGAUUUAGGAUUGCAAUCAAGAUUAAGGUUGGCUAAUUUUCUCUUUUUUUUUAAUCUUUUAUGUUCUUGCUAGUUGAGUAAAUCUGAAAUUGUUUAUUGGUUUUUAAAGGAUGUUAUUUUAGUUUUAAAUUUGAGUGCAUGUUAUUGUACAUUGGAAAAUCUCAAGGAAAUGAGGGUGAAAUUACCUUGAUCCCAGUAUUGUGAAUCACUGAUUCCCCUCAUUAUUUGACACUUUUUUUUUAAAGAAAAGGAUGUAUUAAUUUAAUAGCAAAAGCAUACAAACUUGUCGGAGGCAAAUUCUCUCUCCAGAAAACUUGGGAAUUGUGAAGUUAUGUCACGCGCCUCGUUAAGCAAUCAAAUUUUGAGCUGCCAUUUACAAAUAUAUAAUCUUUUGGUUGAUAUAAAAAUUUGGUACCAGGUUAGUUUGCACUGGACAUUACUCUAGAAAACAGAUGGAUCAUUCUUAUAAUAAUCUGGGAUUAAGAUCUUUAGUACCUUUUUUCCGAAAAUUUUCUCUUAUUAAAUUGACAAAAUGUUUCUCUUUAACUUCUUUUAUAUUUUAUGUUGCAGUAUUUGAUAGUCAUGUAAAGCAGACUGUUAAUUCUAGUGAUCUUUUUUUUUUUUUGUGAAUAGAUUGUUAAUUUUAGUCACUUGUUGACAAACCUGUAAAUGUCUUCUAUGACUUGAAAAUUUAGAAAUUCUCUAUUAUUGAGUGGUUGUAUAUUGUCUAUGAGGUGAACAUGACCAAUUUCUUCUUUCCAUAGAAGUAUCCUAAGCUGCCACAAAACAAUCAAGUGUAUUUGUUGACACAUUAAUCUUUGUUCUCUUAUUUAAUACACUAUGCAUGCUAAUAUUAUCUGCUAAGGUCUUUUAGUUUUCUUUCCCUGUUGUGUAGAGUCGCUACUGCAUUGUGCAAUUUCUUUAUAUUUUCUCUAUCACCCUUUUCAUUUCUAAUUGUGCAUACGAUUAAUUAGUUCGCAAAUAUUCUCAUUUUCCUCGUAAAAAGAGAAAAAAAAAAAGGCUGCUAAGCCCAGGGCAUAAAAUAAGUGAUGCCCACUGGAACAUGAUAAGAUAAAAAAUGUUCAAUUAUUAGCUAAUUUAAAGUAAGUGAUAAAAAAAUUCGACUUGUAGGAAGGCUCAAGUAUUUUUUUUCCCUAAAGAGAUCUAAGCACCUGUUAACUUUGAAGUUCUCAAAUGUUUUUUUCACGUUAUAUGUUUAUCUCCUGGCCAUCAUUGCAAGUGCCAUAGUAAAUAUUCAUGUGUGUGUUUGUGUGUUUCAUGAUACGUUCAAAUGGAUGGAAUUUUAACAUCCCACAUGAGAAUCAUGUGUUGCAUCAUCCUAGUACGUGUCAUCAGCGUCAAUGAAAUCUUAUCCAUGGUUUACGGAACAGUCUUGGAUGAACUCUUCGACUUUGCAUACUGGUGAUACUUGCUCUAUUUUCCACUUUCUCAAGCUGAGUGAGUAGCUGUCAUGCAUGUUCUUUUUGUAUGCUGGGUAAAGUAUAUGUUCCUUUUACCAUCAAAUAUAACAGCUGCAUACUAGCAAGAUUUUUAGCACCUCCUCCACUUGGCAUGUUCUUUUCCGUUCCUAAGAGCUCAGCUGGUAGCCUUUGCAGGAGAAUAGGAGAACCUGCCAAGUGAAGACAUCUUACUUGACGACUCUCGUUCUUCAGCAAAAUCUGUAUUCACAGGUUUGGUAUCUCACUUGUCGUCUUCAUACUAAAUUUUCUCUACUCUAUGAUGAUCAGAGAGAGAGAAAGAGUUGUGUGGUGAUCCAACUGGGUCCAUUGAUCUCGAGUGUGCUUUGAUGGAUCUGAAAGAAGUCCUGUCCGUGAUCUCAUUCCAAAGUCAAUCUCUUUUACUUUCACCAGAUGAUGACAUGAGGAUCCCAACAAAGACCUGACAGCCCAGGUGGAAUGGACAAUCCACCUGACAGAGUCCAUCUUGCAGGAUCUUGGCAUUUGAAAGCCUGACAGAAAGUACUGAGAGCAGAUUUAGAUCUCUGCUGUUGGGUCUUUCUUUUUAGGUGGGGCAUCCAGGAAAAGAGUGCUUUGGUGGACCUCCGCAUGUCAUCACAAUUGAAUAGAAAUGCUUAUCAUAAAGUGAAAAAGGAAGUCUCAAAUACAUAGGCUACCAUUAAACUUGCAAGUGCAGGACAACUCUUGAUUCAGAUAAAAGCUUUCCCCCAUCUAUUUGUCGGCCACUUUGUUGGUGUUGCAAUGCCUUCCUCAAUUGGCUCCCUUUGUCAUACUAGCUUGCCCUAGGUUAAUGAUAGUUGCUGCAAUAUACAUGUAUUUAACCUAAUUAUGCUCCAUUACAUUGGUGACACGUCUCACACCUACCGAGUGAGAUCUUGGGAGAUCCUAUUGAGACUGUGCCACACAAAUCUCUCAUGAGAGGCACAUUGUCCAUUAGUUAAUGUCUGAUUUUUCCAUUAUUUAACGACUAUGAUCACUGUAGAAACUGUUCUAUUGAUGUGAUGGGAUCUACACUUUUGAGCCAUAUUGAUUUGUGUGAGUGAGCAUAUCACAGAGAAAGUUUUUUAGAAUGAUUUGGGAACAGAUGCAUUACUAUUAAAUUAAGUCAUGCGAUUUUGUCUUUACAGAAUUAAAAAUCAAUUGUCCAGCAUCUUCUUUUCAGUAGUUUCUUAAAGACCACAAUAUCAUGAUAUGUAGUGAGGAUUUUGGUGCCUCCACAUAAGACAAAUAAACUACAAGUAUAUUAUUAUCACAAUAAGUUCUUGUUGUCAAACAAAUUUCUGAUAUGGUUGAUGAAAAAAACUAGAUAAAAUAAAUCUCAUAGAACCACAAAUUUAGGGUACUAAACUUUCCUUUUGAGCUUUGGCCACUGGGAAGUAGUGGUCAAUAGAUGGUACUUGGGAGUUGUCCAAUCCUAAUCGGUUGGCUGGUUUGGAUGAGAACUGGUACUCGUCAAAGAGGAAGCAAAUGGAUUGAUGGGUCAAACUUGAGUUAGGGUGCUGCUGCAUAACUUAUCCUUGAAAGAACAAAGAACUAGCUUGCUGUUUUGGACUAACACACUUCUGUCAAUGCACAUAAUGUUCUAGAAAAGCAAACAGUAGUGGAGAACAUACUCGAUAGGAUAAAAUAUGAUGAUGAUGAUGAUGAUGAUGUUGCAACAGUACAAGAUAGGCAUAGUUAAUCUGUAUGGUCUAAGAGCAAUCCACUGACUUGGUCCAUGCAUUUCUUUUUCUCACUUGUGAUGCACUUACAGCAAUAAAAUCUCAAAAACAACACCAAAGAUGCAUCGUCUCAGAUACAUUGUCUCCUUCCUCAUCUGGAGAUACAGAAAAGGCAAGUUUUAGGAAUGACUUAUUUGCAGACUAUGAGAAGAAGUGAAGCAGAUAGGAUACUUAAAGCUUAAAGCUUUGUCAGUUUCUUAAUUACCCUCUCUCUCUCUCUCUCUCCCUCUCUCGCCAUCCUUUGCAUCGGAACUAUAUAUAUAUAUAUAUAUAUAUAUAUAUAUAUAUAUAUAUAUAUAUAUAUAUAUAUAUAUAUCGAUGAAGCUUUCAUCCUUGUGAGAUAUCAGACUCCAUGCCAUGCGUCUCAUCCUACCACUUCAUGCAGGUCACAUCCCUUGUGAGAGCUCAAGCAUGAUGGAAGGAGAGGGGAAGAAGAGUGAAGAGAAGAAAGAUGAUGGAGGAGCAGCUCUACGACCGUCACAACAUGAAGAACAAAAGGCCAAGGUGGUAUUUUGUUCAUCUUCUUCGUCGUCGUCGUUGUCUCCUACGCUUGAGCUCAACCUCAUCGAGUCGCUGGUCUCAGUACCCUCGGAGCCACCACCGGCGGAGGCAACAACCGAGUUGGAGCCGCGGGUAUUCCCCUGCAACUACUGCAGGCGGAGGUUCUACAGCUCGCAGGCGCUCGGCGGGCACCAGAACGCGCACAAGCGCGAGCGCACCCUGGCAAAGCGUGGGAGCCACGGCGCAGGCUUUGGCGAAGCCAACUGCGGAUACGUACCGAGCAUGGCUUCGUUGCCGCUCCGAGGGACGUACGCCGGCAGGCCGCUCGGCAUACAGGCGCACUCGAUGGUCCACAAGCCGCACAAAGUGACGUCACCGCCGCUGGCCGCUGCGAUGUUCUACGGCCAACAUGGCUGGUCGAUUUCUCCGAUAAUUAGCCGUCGACCGGAGGUAGGACGCAUCUCCACGGAGGUCAUCCAUGCCACAACAAUACCUCCGCCGGUGCAGCUCAACGACCCCGCUGCCGCCGCCGCCGCCGCCGCUGCUGAAAUGAUUCAAGAGGUUGGUGGUAAUCAUCUGAACAGUAGGCGAGAGAAGUUGCCUAAGCUUGACUUGUCCCUCAAGCUCUAGCGCUGUUGUCUCUCUCUCUGCCUCUCUCUGGGAAUGGGAAUGCUCCUAAUUUUCAGUCGGCUUAUGCAAUCAAUCUUAUAGCUUUAAUUAGUCCCCUUCUUUUGGAUUCUGACUUGUUGAUACAAGAUUUGAAGUUGAACUCACUGCUAAUCUGGAACUUAGAAUUGAAUAAUAAUAUAUCAAGCAAAAAUCGUAAUAUUGAUGUUUUAACCUUAUCACUUCAAAUCCGGAGAUCUAAAUUAUCAGUGUCUUAUACAUCUUUAUUUGGUUUAUCUUAAUAUCACAAUCUUCAGGUCAUGGACUAUAUGAUCAUAUGAAGUGGUUGGCUCUGUGUUGCCUCUCCUCUUUUGACUUGCUUGCAAGCAUUACCCCCAUUGCUUUACGUGUAGACUGUUCUUUUGAUCACUUCCUACAUGUAAAAGAAGGCAAAAGCACAAUUUAACAGAGCUAUAUCAUCUCUUUCUCGAGUAUUCGAUCAAUAUACACUAUCAAAAUACUUAGAGCAACAUGGAAAUAAAAUGUUUGUGACUCAAUUCCUUUUAUUCCUUUCUCUGCUGUCUCCCUGUCAGUGCUUCCACAUGCAAAACCUCAAGUCCAAUCUUUAACCCAUAAAUGAAAUGUUCUUCAAAGUGUGUGAGGGCAGAAAAUUUACCUACAGAAAGAACUGGUCCAAUAGUCUCCAUCAACCAGUGAAGCCAAAAGCAAUGUUGAGUAUUCUUAAUGUCAUUAUUUCAGCAAAGGUGAUGCAACAAAUACAGGACAAGAUACAUGUCAACCAUCAAGAUGAAACAAAGAAAUGGGGGGCCAGUGAUGCAUCUGGAUGCUCCUUUUUCCACGCUAGUGCUUUCACCAAAUAAUAUGCUAAUAGGAUAUCAUGUAGAUAUGAUUUCAUGGGACAUGUAAUCAAAGUAUGAGGGGCCUAUCAGCUGAUCAGCAUCCACCUGUGAUGUGAUCUCCACAUUCUCAGUGACAUAAAUGGCCAACGUAUGGAUGCUAAAGUGCUUUGGAUUCCACUUGAACAACUCAAUCCAAAGAGAGAAAGUCUUCUGAUGGAACACAAACAGGUGCUCUGUUUUCUUUUCUUAAAGCUUUUGGAGGUUUGAUGGCAUAGAAAAGGACAUUGUGCAAUGGUCAUGAUUAGGUUUAGGAACCAAAAAUGAAGAUUUGUAUGAUGUUAAUAUCUAAGAGAUUAGAUAUGAUGGGACCCAAGAGACUUCCAUGGAUAGAGUAAUACCUACCAAUGAGACUAGUUCAACAAAAAGUGGGUGUUUACUGAGUCUGAGAUCCAGGUUUUAUGGGUGCCAACUCAAACAUGAAAGAAAGAAAGAGACCUGUUCAAAUCAUUCAUUGAGGCCUUGACCACUCCUCUAUGAUUCCACAUCACCUACUAAGAAGAAGUGAUAUUAAAAAAGAAGAAAAAAAACCUAGUUUUGCUAGGAAAAAAAAUCUCAUCAUGAAUGGUGUACCUUUAAAUCCUUUUGCCAAUCUUGAAACAUAUACUACCAUGAAAGUGACAUGCUCUAGAAUUCUGAUAAUAGUGGUGACAUCAUCUGAUUGCAGUGGCAUCCUUUCUCUAUCUUUGUAAUCCAUGUUUGUGCUCAACAUCUACAAAUCAGAAAAGAAAGGGGAAGAGAAUAAAGCUUUUAUAUAGGAAAUUAAUGUUAAGUUCCCAAGGUGGCCAUGUUCUACCAACUAGCAUCACUUUUGGGCCCUUCUUAAUCAUGAAUUAUUUACAGGUGCCACAGACGCAAACAAAUGGUGAGAAUGUGGCAUUUCUGUUCUACAUUUGUUGCACCUGGGACCUUGCAACUCUUUCCUUGCUUUGCAAGUCUUGAUUCCAUAUGAAUGAAUGUUCUUUGUUUUGCAAACAUGUAGGAUUUCUUUGUUUUACUGUCAGCUUAACAAGGAGUGGUUUAAACUAGGAAUGCUGGAGAACUUGUGCAAAAAAAAUCAUUCAGCCUAGAAGUAGGUUUGGUGCUCUUUAUCAGUCUAUUUCUUGUGUACAUCAGCAGCAGCAUUUAGGUUGUUUUGCCUGUAUCCAUACCAUUAUACAAAGAGUCAUAUACAGUUCAUAUGUAAUUCUGCUAUCAAUUUCUUCAAACAACAUUAGUAGUUUGACCUGUGUUUCCUUGGAGAACACAAAUGAUUAGUGACCUGUUGUUUGACUUUGGAAAUUGGUUCAUCUUAUUCUUAAACUCAAUAUUAUGAUCUUCUUCCAGUAGAAAAGGCAUCAUAGAACUUCAAUGACCAGAGGAUCAGCAUUGAUAUUUCUGAUUCAUCAUUAGUUCUUGGCAGGUUUAGUUUGGUGAAAGCCUUCCAUGACACUGUUCUUUCAAAUUCUUCAUCUAUAUAUGUCAUUUGAUCUUGGGAAACACUUUAGUUUACUGAUAUGGAACUUUGUCAAGUUGUGUAUGACUCCUGUUUUCAUCUCAAUCAUUCCUCAACAGGGUGACAUAGCACAUCAAAUCAUGUUCUCUGCCACCAUCUUUUGAAACAUGAUUCUGAUGAACAUUUAAACUUGGUCUGUGAAAUCUGAUAAACUUUCAGAAGAAUUCCUAUCACAAUCUGCAAAAAUGCUCAACAAAAUGAUGGCAUGGCUUUGUAGUCAGUGACCCCACAAAUGAUGGAUGGAAAUUUUGAUGAAAGAAAAAAGUGAGAAAAAUAAGAUUAAAAAGAAAAGAAUUGGGUGGAAAAGAAAACUUCAGCUUCUUUUUUGUUCUUCAUUGUCAGUGAUAAGAUCUUGAGGUGUUCCAAGGCAUGGCAUGAGCUAUGAAACUAAAAGAAGAGUGUGCUGAUGUGAGUAGUUCAUCAAUCAAUUAAUUCCUCCUUUCUUCAUCUGUUAGCACACUGCAGUGUCUCAAACACACACAUAUAUAGGAUUAAGCUCUCUAUGAUAAGAUAAUUAGUUUCUUUAGAAGUGAUAUAGAAUCUUUAAUAAGCACAGAGGAAAAAAAAACAUGUUUGAUGCUUUCUAAAUAGUAUUUAAAUCAGAUAAAAAAUAAUUAUUAUUUUUGAUGUAGAACAAAAUAAUUAUUCUGAUACUAAAAAAUGCUUGGUAUGUGUUAGAGAAGUGUUUCGAUACCUGCUCAAUCGAUACCCACUUCCAUACACACCUCCAUAUGAGACCUGACCGACGUACGUGUCCGAGUAUUAAUGAGUGGAGCCCGGUGACGCAUACGGGCUAUCUUGCUCGUGGUUUACUGACAACAGCAACUGGGCAAUGGAUUCUCCCUUCGCUCGUUGCGAGGGGAAUCUGUGACCCCAAUUCCGAUUUCCUCACCUUCUCCCGUCUCAAUUGCAUCGGAUCAACCAUUAAACCAUCGAAAUUUGGUGUUUUUCUUUGAUCCCUCUUCGACUUGGGCGCUGAUUCACCCACUUUGGGUGGAAUUUCCAGAGAUUUCGGUCAUAGAAGUCGUCUCAAUCUCGGCGGCGUUUGUUCUUACAAUCACUUCUAUCAUUUCGAUGUCUCUAGAAGAUAAUUCAGUUUUCUGGUGUUUUUCCCUUUCGAUUUGAUUUGCUCGGGUUUUAUGUCAAAGAUCGUGAAUCUCUUGAUUUCUCUCAGAAUUGUCUUAAAUCUCAAAUUUUAGUAGGAGAUCUGCGUUUAUGAUCAUUGAAUGUUGGAUGGAUUGGCUAUUGUCUAGAUUCUGGCUGUCUUUAGAGGUUUUUUGAUGCUUGGUCUAUCGGUGGGUUUCAUGCUAACAUGAAAAACCAGUCAUUUGGGUCAGGAAGCCCCAAAUCCUAUCAUGGCUACCCCAGGGGUGACUUCGAUUUGGAAUCCGGAAGCUUUCGCAAGAGCUUCCGAAAGCCUAAGAACUCAUCACGAAUUGGUCCCAUCAGGAUGAUGAAUUCCAUUGCCAACCGCAUUCAUUAUUUUUACAAGCUUCAUCCUGUUGCAGUCUUUCUUUCCUCCUUGGCCUUUGGUGUGGCCAUUCUGAUAGUGCUUUCGAUGUACGAAAGCCGAAUUAGAAUGAUGGGUUUCCGGAGGGACGGUGACUUGAGUUCGGGUUCUUAUCCAUUGGCAAAUCUCCGUAAUCUUGUGAUGGUUGCUGGGCAUUCAAUCUAUACGAGCACUAGCUGUGGGAAGAUUGACAGUGAGGAUUCGUGGUUUCUGGAACCGUAUCAGAAGAACCCUGGGCAAGCAGCUACUUUCUUGGCACAUAUACAGGAGGGAGUGGAGAGUGCAGCUAAGGAUGAGGGAGCACUGCUCUUGUUCAGCGGUGGGGAAACUCGGAAGGAUGCUGGCCCUCGUAGUGAAGCACAGAGCUAUUGGGCUGUUGCAGAAUCCAAAGGAUGGUUUGGUAUACUACUCACUUGUGUCUUUGAUACUACCAGUUGGCGUGCAGUUGUCUUCUGCUUACUAUCUGUAAAUGGACAAGUUUCUGUGCUUGAUAAAUUGGGGUAAUAUUCAUUAGGUAUAAAACUUUUUUGGGCAGACUCAUUUAUGUGUCUCUUUGUUCUGUCACCUUAACACCAUUUACAUUUCAACUGCCAAAAAAUCUGCCAGUACCAGUGCGCUAAAUGACUAGAAACUGUUUUCACAAUGUUAAUGUAGUUCAAUUUUAUCCUCUCAUUCAUGCAUAUGCAUGAUUUCCAAGUUGAAAAAUGGAUCUUUAGUGUGCAGUUUUAGAUAAGAGUUGUCGAGGUAAGGUCGUACGCAUUGAUUUUCCUCUGACCCCUUAUUGGCAUGGUCCUUAUUCACUGAGUUUGUCCAGAAAAUUGUUCUGCAAUUCCAAAAUGUAUAAUGAAUAUAUUUAGUAAUCUUUGUCAUGAUGUAUACUGCGGUAUGAUUAGCUAGGGAAAAUUAGUUGCUGGUUAAGAUUGAAGGCAAAAGGGUGAAUCCACAUGCUGAUGUAAUAAUACUCUAGGUCCUCACAAAGAUAUAGUGUAGGGAUUUUGUCUCUUACUGUUCUGAAAGCCCAUCUUUUACAUGCCAUCUAUGUAUAUUUCUUUAUUAUUACAAGAGAUAACAUACUAAAGUAAUUAAAACUUCAAUUUACUUGUUUGUUGAUUAACCAGCUAGUUUGAUGUUAAAUUUAGAUAAACUUUCAAUGCUUAAUUCAUGUCUGAGAAUCGUGGUUCCUUUUCAUAUUCAUUCCAAUUUGCCGCUUUGUUCAUGUUGUUCUAUGUUCUAUUCUUAGUGGUGGUUUUAGUUUUGCAUAUUUCUGUAUGUUGAUGAAUAUUGCCAGUUAUUGUACUCAGCAGGAAAUAAUUUUAUUUUUUUGGUAUUUGUUUUAUACCUCAUUUAGCUAUCAUAUAGCUUGUGCUCCAUAUUUGACUGUCCUUUCAUGGUGAAGGAAAUUGUCUGUUUUGUUUUCUCUUCAUAACUGAAGCAACACUUUAUAUAGUUUUUUGUGUUUUUUACAUUCACUUUCCUGCUUCAUCCAUAAAAUUGAAGCUUCAAACUCAGUUCCAAGAGUUGGACAUUGGAAUCCUGUUGGAAAAAGAUAAACACAAAUGUUCUCAAAGUUUUCCCGUUUUAAUGUCUGAGGUCUUAUGAUGUUUGAUUACAUAAUUUCAACAUGUAUAUAACCUCCAUAAAAGAGGCCAUAAAAACCAUAUGCUGUCUGGACACUUGCUGAAUCCACCCUUGUAUUCUGCAUUGUUAAAUCUUGAACUCUAUUUUACUGAGAAGGUGCAUCAUUUCUUGUUUUAACAGGAAAGCAAGAUAAUAUCAGGAGUAGAGCGCACACAGAGGAGCAUGCAAGAGAUAGCUUUGAGAACCUUCUUUUUAGUGUUUGUCGUUUUCGCGAACUUACAGGCAGUUAUCCUCAAAAUAUUACUGUGAGCUUCUAUUGUUUUGCAAUUAUCAUUAGGUUCAUUUUGUGUGUGCUUGUGUGUCAUGCACAUACAGUUUGGAUAUUUUGUGUUUCCUUUUUCUUCUCCACAGGUUUGAUUGGGUUGGGAAGCGUGUCAGCUAACGAAACAUGUUUUGCUUUCUACUAAUCUUUAUACAUUCUUUUAAAAGAGAGAAAUCUGAACAUAAUAGUUGUCCUCUAGGGAUGUUUGUUGUCACAGGGGCAUGCAUUUCUCUUAUUAUGACAUGGCACAAUUAUGUGCAGUACCAGUUGGCAUGCUUCUAGGCCGACUUGCACAAGCCAUCAAUUGGGCAAAUGAAAUAUCUGCAGCACCUCUAACUUGGGAUGUGAUGACAUGUGCUGAUACCUUUCUUGCAUGGGACAUUUUGAUUCAACUAAUUCACACAACAAUCCUUGCUUCAGGGUUUGUCUACAGCUCAACAAUUACAUGAGUUCCUGUUCAUCUCUUGAGCUUUUAGUCGUUUCUUUCGUUAGUUCUAGGUCACAUUUACUAGUUUUACUUAAUUGAAUUUCACCCAAUUCUUAGAGUAGCUAUAUAAUCUUUAGAUCUCUUUCUUAGCUCUUAGAAAAGAAGUUGUAGUUAUUGUGCAUUUACAAUAUUUUAAACUGGUACAUAGCAAAGGAAAUGAAAGCCAAAUAGAGGAUUCGCUUGGAAAGAAGCUUGACACUGAAAUUUGUUGAUUCAUUAUCAAGGUUUAAAUGGACGUAAAACAAUGUGUCACAUGUAUAAAUGAUAUAGAAGAUUAUCUUAAUGCAUUGGAGUGCUUCAUUCUAAGCUUAAGGUUUGCAAAUUAAUGAUUAUGCAAAAGCAUUUGUUUCCAUCAGGUGCCAUUUAAUGUUAUAUUUUCUUGCCUAAAUUACUCUGAAAUGGCAAGUACCUUAUUGAGUAAAUAGUCUAACUAAGAAACAUGGAUGCAUCGAAGCACUCGCUAUGUAUGUUAUGGAUAUAUGUCAGAUUCUUUCUAGGAUAUUGAGUUUUCUAGAUAUGUCUCAGAUGCUUCAACAAAAUAUUUCUCUGUUAAGUAGCCACUAAAUGAUCUCAUGCUUUUGGGAUUGUGGAUUUUUUUUGUGAGAAGUUGAUUUCUUGAAUGAAGAAAUAUUUUUAAGUUAGAUGAUAUGGAUAUAUGGAAAUAUUUAUAUAUAUUUUUAUGUUGUGUUGUUAAACUUCAAAUUAUGAUUCAUAAACGUAAACAAUAAUUAUCAUUGCCAUAAGUCAUUGUGAUACUUGUGUUCUUGAAUGACUUCAUUACUGCUAGAAUCUCUUUCUGAGGAAUAAGCUUUCUGAGGAAUAGGUGAGGAUCCUAGUAUUACUUAUUAUUAGAAAAUGUAGUUAUAGUAGCAUUUCAAUGGUUAGUGCAUUGAUGCACAAGCGAUAGUGUCAAGUUUGAGUCCACGUGUGAUUGUUGUAGAAGACAUUUAAUGAAAUUUCUUCUUAGUUUUUUUUAUAAAAGAUGAUGUAGUUAUAUAUAUGUCCAUGUAAAUAUGUACCAAAUGAAUUAAAUAUUAUUAUCAUAUUGACUAUUGAUGACAUAUUGUAUUGUAUGGAUAUCCCAGAUAUGCUACAUAGCUGCCCAAUUAUGAGAUCUAAAUGGUUUUUAUUCAUUUUCCAUUAGUGUCAAGCUUGUUUAGUACUUUCUUAUGUGAACAUUUGUCUUACCAAACAAAGUUCAUGGAUCUAGGUGCUGAUAUGAUAUAAUCAUUAUCUGAAAUCUUGAACUUGUAAACUAGUCUCCUUGCGCCAGUCUUGUUUCCAUGGUCUUGAGCAUUCACCGACCCUCACCUACUAACUCUUUUGAGUCUUAUUGCACAGCUUUUGUAAUCGGGUGCAACUUUUUAACCUUGUCCGAUUGUACUAUUCUACCUUAUUUGAUCAAGUUACCAAUGUUUACCUUGCUUUUUUGUCCGGCUCACACCAUGGUGUGUUGUUUUGUGUUCAUCAUGGAUUACUAAUGAACUCCAUUUGUUUUAAAUGCUGGUGUCAGGUUGUAAGCUAUGACUUCAAGAAAGAAAGGUUCGCUCAUUUGCACCGUUUAGCAAUAGGAUUCCCGGAAGAGAGGUUCUUCUACACCGGUACUCCUGCUGCUCCGGGCGCAAAGGAGGCAGCGGAGAAAGGUGAGGCCUUUGUCCGGGCCCAGUUUCAAGAAGACCCUUAUGGAUGUUUGGGUUCACUUCACAGGAAGAGACUAAAGAGAGAUCCAUUUCACCGGUUUAUCCCUUAUCCUAAUGGCUGCCCUGAAUUGAAAAGCUUAUUCGACUACUGCGGUCCAGUUCCUUAUCCCGGCACACUUCCUUGGAUCCGGUAGUCUCAAGUUCAGAUCGUGAAAUCCAAUCUAUAGCCUGGAACAUGUACAAUGAAAUAUAAUAUCAUCCUCUUUGGACUUUUCAUGCGUUACAAAGGUUUUGCAGCAAGUUUAUUACCAAAAAGGAAUGUCUCAGAAUAUUCAACUUUUUUGUAAUAUUACUGUAUGAAUAUGUGCUCACUGAUCCACAAUGUCAAAUUCAAUGUUCUGCACUCGUCAUGUUAGACAUAAUGUCUGUGAGGGAUUUGGACAGCAUGCCAAGGUUAUUGCUUAUAUAUCAUUUCCGAUAUUUAAAUCUCCGUAUGUAUCACUCUUUUUAGCAUCAUUCAAUAACUUCAGUUUAAUCAUUAUCAACUGUUAUUAUUAAUGAACAUAAUAAACACACAUAUAUAAUGUUUAUGAUGAGAACAUCUAUUGAGAUCCGCAAAGGUGCCAAUUACUAAGAUAAUGUUUUUGAGCAAGCUUUGUUGAAGUCUCUGAAAUCAACACAAAGAGAAAACUUGUACAUUCUUCACCCGUGACAAAGUGAAAAGGUUCCGAGGUUGGAGAAAACAAUUUAUUCCCUUCGUUUUCAAGCAUAUAGACAGACAGACACACUCAAAUGCGAUCGUUUGAUUCUCGUGCAGUGUUCUUAAGCAACUUAUGCUUGAGGUUGCCAAUUCAAAAGCAACAUAUGAAAGAAUCAAACGUGAAGCUGCUUUCUAGCUUUAUUAGCUGGCCUUGAUAGUUCAUAGGCAAAGCAGCUGCAAUGAGCAUAGAUGGGAAGAAGACAAGGACAACAUGGUUUUUAACUAGCUAACAAUGCAUUAGCUACUGUGUCUUAGUCUUUAACUCAAGGUUAGGAGAGAGAUGGUGUCAUCUCAUGCUACUUUGUGUCACUAACCAACAUCAUUUUCCACUCCACUAAACACAACCUCAAGUGCAUGAUUGGUCUCUAAUCAUUGAGAGAGAAGUGAAGUUGCAGCUAACCUAAAGCCAAAGUAGAUGUUUUUGGUACCACCUGCUCUCUAAGGUCAGUUGAUCCAUCCAAGUUCUACAGAACCUAUAAAACUAAUCUGAGUUAGGGAAGAAGCUUUUCUCCCAGUGACUCAGUUGGGUUAGGUUCUGUGGGUGGGUGAAAGGUUGGUGAAGUCAUGUGGAGAGUCUGCAAUGUCUUGUCAUCAGCUUCAACUCUUUAUGUAGCUACAUUUUGAUUGACAAAAGUAGGUUCUACAAGUGUAGCUAACAUAUUUUUGUGUAUUUAUGUAAAUGGUUUAAAUCAAAACAAGGUUUUGCUUUAAGAAAGUUAACAAUCUUACAUCAAACAGGUAUAGAAGUUUUAAUAUAAAAAAAGUGGAAUAUAUCUCAAAAAAUUGCAUAAUGUCAUUCCUAAAAAAUAUACUAAUCAACUUCUCUAAAGAUAAAAGGAGUGUAAAAUUGAAGCUAUGUUUGUGUAAUAUAUCUUUCACUGAAAUGUGGAACAAUUAUUUUCAGACCAAUUCUCAGAAUUAUUUUCAGACCUAAAAUAUCUUUAAUAGAAGUUUCAGUGGUUGAGUUUGAAAAAUAAUUGUGAUGGAUGAUGGAAUUUAUUUUCUUUUCUUUUCUUUUUAAUGCAAGUAUAUUAGAGUCACAUAAUUAUUCCUGAUAAUAUAUUAUAAAUCUUGAAGCCCAUAACUCUUGUUAGAACCUAAUUAAUAUAUACUAAGUCUUAAGCCUUUAAGAUUACUGGUCACUGAUUCCCAAUAUUUAUCAUGUCAUGAGUUUGAAAUAUGUUUUUUUUUUAUAUUCAUUUCAGUGUUUAAUUAAAAAUAUUUGCAGUUGGAUUUAUAUCAACUAAAUAUGUAUUGGGUUUAAAUUCUUAGGAUUGUUGGUCACCCACCAUUCAAUUUUUUAUUACCUCAAAUUGGAACAUCAUUAAUAUGAUAAAUAAUGGUGAAUCUAAGAACACUAAGUUUUGAUGCCAUUGUUAAAAGUGGUAGACAAUCUUAGAUCUUACUUGGCUGUCAAUAUGAUGUGCCUUUAACUCUUUGGGGGAUCCAAUUCAUUCCUGUCAUGAUGGGACAUUUAUUGCAUCCACUUCAAACUACUCUCUCUCUUUUUUUUUUUUACCCUUGGUUGAGUUAAAUCCAUCACUGUUCAUUAAAUGCAUCUUUGCAACAUUUCAAGUUACAUGAAAAUUUACAAUAAGAAUAAUUUUAUGAUAUGACACAUAUGAUCUAUAUUUUCAAUCAUUUAACUAUCUAUAACACAUUCAUACUAUAUAUUUAUUUAGUUAAAACUUACAUAUAUAUAGUGAUUUUAAGCUACAUUUGUUAGCAAGAAUUCAAACCUGGUAUGAUUUUAUAACAUCUAUAAAGGUAUGAGUAAAUUAUCAUUAUUAUUAUCAUUCUAUGAAGAUAUUUGAAUUUGAGAUCAUGCAAAUAGACAUCUCAAUGACUAUAAAAGAUUUAUGAUCUCAACUUUAAUAAUUAAAGUUUUAUGAUCUGUUAUAUUACCUAAACAAAUAAAAACUAAAGAACUUAUAAGCUUAAACAGAUUAUUAUGACAAAGAGACCAAAGUACAUAAGUAAAAAAAUAAUAAUAAUAAUAUAUUUUAAUCACACUAUUCUAGAUGAUACCCACUUUUGAAAACCCAACCACUCAUAUCCAAAUAGUACCACAAGAAACAAUCAACAGUACCUUAGAAAUAAAAAAACAAGAAAAAUGAGGCAUGACUUAAAAACAAAGCUAAAAAAGAACAUAUUUACCUAACUAAAUUUAAUUUCUAACUCAAAACAAGUUUCUUAGCCAUUGCUAAAGGUCCACAUGGUAUAUAACUCCUAACUCUUUCAGAUCCAUCUUCUCUGUCCUAUUAUCUUUAUUCCACACCAAAAGGGACCACAGAGGAGAUGAGAUGAUGAUGAUGAUGAUCCCACACCUUUAACACCCAUUUAUUUGCAUUUAUUCAAGAAAUUGGUCAGACAUUGGUGAGUGACAUGAUUCCAGCUUCAUUUUUGUGGUUGUGCUGCAUCUGAACCUUCAUCAAUGGUCAUCUCCAAGAAGGAAAAAAGAUUGGAGAUGUAACAGUGGGUGACAACAGUGAAUACAGGUUGGACUGCAAGCAAGCAGGUCUUUGAUGUGGGACUUCAACCUGAUCUUUGACUGACACUUUGCAGUGCUUGUCAUGUGAGGCAGUGCCAGCAAACUCCACCUAAUGGCCCAAAGAGAUGAGCUCAGGAGUGAGGUCAUGUGCCAGUGGUACAUUGACCUCAGUAAAUUUUUUGGCCACUCUGUACAUUGACCUCAUUUGCCACUCUAGUUGGGGCAAUUUUUUGGCCUGUCUGCAUCUGCAGAUGCUGCAGCCAUGGAGGCAUUUGCUGGACCAGUACAUGAAGAUCUGCCUCUUCAUUGGCAGAGAGACAUACAAGACCCAUCAUACUUUCUCCUUCCUACAAACCUACCCAUAUGAUCACUUACCAUUGACAGAGAGACAUAAGACCCAUCAUACUUUCUCCUUCCUNNNNNNNNNNNNNNNNNNNNUGAUCACUCACCACUUGUACAGAGAGACAUAUACGACCCAUCAUACUUUCUCCUUCCUCCAAAACCUACCCAUAUGAUCACUCACCAUUGACAGAGAGACAUAUAAGACCCAUCAUACUCUCUCCUUCCUCCAAAACCUACCCAUAUGAUCACUCACCAUUGACAGAGAGACAUAUUAGACCCAUCAUACUUUCUCCUUCCUCCAAAACCUACCCAUAUGAUCACUCUCCAUUGAUAGAGAGACACAUAAGACCCAUCAUACUUUCUCCUUCCUCCAACACCUGCCCAUAUGAUCAUAUGACAUGUGAAACUAAUAAAGAUUAAACUAUUAGAAAGGACUUCAUUUGUAUCAAACUUUAAUGUUUCCUCUCACAAUUAUGAUACAAACUUGAUUCCAAAUGCAUGAUGCAAUCAAAAAAGACAAUUUAAGUAUAUAAUAAAUACAUGUCAAUUUGGAAAAAAAAAAUAUUAUACAAAUACUAGUUAGAAAUUAGAUGAAAUAGAAAGAGAUAGAUACAUGACUUUGAACUCACAGCAUGUUUUGACAUCAUGAUGAAGAAUUCAUAUUAUAUAAUCAUUAACUUGAAAAGUUUAAACUAUCAAUUUUGUUAACAUCAAUACUCAAGUUUUACUUUGGUGAUUUUUUUCACUGUUGAUCAUAAAUCACCUUUUUUUUUCUUUUUAGUUUUGUAGUAGAGAAAAGACACAUUUCUUUUUCUAAAUGAUAAUUCUAGUUUAAAAAAGUGAGAAUUGAUGGAAAACCAAUAAAAAAAAGGUGAGAAUUGGCACUUCAAAAAGUGAGAUUUUGAUAGAAUACCAAAAAGGGUCUUUCUGUGAUUUACAAAAAAAAAAUUCUUCCAAUAAAGGAUGAUAUUUUAUUAUUUAUAAUUGUAUACUAAAAAGGAUGAUUGUUCGAAAAUAUAUCCUCUUUUUAAGUUUUUCCUUGGAUGAUAACAUCAUUUUUAUUCAUAAAACACUAUAUAGUAUUUUUAAAUAUUAUAUAGUUUUUAUUUCAAAAAUAAUGUGACAUCAAAAAUACUAUAUAGUGUUUUUAAAAUAAAAUAUUUUAUAAUACUUUAAAAAAAUACUAUACAGUCUUUUACGGAUAAAAAAUAAUCCAUAAAAUACUAUAAAUAGUUUAUUUAAAAAAAAUAAAUUUAGGCAAAAAAAGAUAGAUUUUUAAAAAUAACUAAAAUAGGGAAUGAUUGUUUUAAAUUUUGUUUAAAAAAUAGUAUAAUUCGGAAAAUAAAAAAAAAUAAAAAAGGGGUAAAUUACCCCACCCUCCCCCCUAAAAGAGGACAUUAGCAUUUUACCCAACACACAUCCCAUCACAACCCUUCCUCGAGCACAAGCUUUGUCUGAGACUUCCACCCAACCACACCCCCUUCACCCACUCCCCAACACACACAGACACACCCAUCUUCUCGACGAGCACACCAACCUGUCACGCUUCUCUCACAUCAACAUCAUCUCAAUUGCUUACUUCGUCUCCAUGUCCAGUGUCUCCUCCUCUUUUGCUAAAGAAAAAGAAAAAGAAAAAGAAAGCAAAAAAAAAAAGAUGAAAUUUUUGGGACAUUGUUAAUGCUUUGGGUCGCCGUCUUGCAAUGCGAAGCAACAUUGGUCAUCAUUCCGUGCUUUAGUCCAGUAAUUAAUCCUCUUUCCCAUUAUAAAAAUCGUUCCUUUUGGAUAAUCUCUCCCUCCCUUGUUCUUGGCCUUGGCUUCAGGUGUUCGAUGCUGCAUCCUUCCUGCCACCUGGAUAACAGUGGGAAUCAACUUUUGAUCAUUUUCCAUGCGUUAUUCCGGUGUUUAAUCCUCUUUUCCCUGGUAAAAAUCCUUCCUUUUGUGCAAAGUCCAUCCAUCCCUCCGUUGUUCUUUGCCUCUGCCCGGCUUGAGGUGCCACUACUUGGAUUCUCUUCCCUGCCCUCCUCUGUUUACAGCCUCCUGGUUUCACUCCCAGUUGCUUUGUCGUGUUUGCCAUCUCUGUCCGUCAAUUGGUUGGUGGCCUCCUUCCUUCGUUGUUAUCCGUUCCUUUCUGCCUCGCUCUUGGCCAUUUCUUCAAGCAUUGUUCUGCUCACGCCUGCUCUUUUCGUAGGGUGAUCUUGCUUUAAAGGACGCUUCGUCUUUUGACGGCCGCCUUUCUUGGCAGUAGGUAAUUCCACUUUGUUGGAGUGGUUCUUUUUCGCCAAGAUUUGGUUUUUUGAUUUCGGGGGGAGUGGAAGCGUCGAUGGCAGCCGUAAAGAUUUGAUUUUUUAUUUCGCUCUUGUGUGUGCUCCCAGAUGGGAUUGGAUUCUUGGGUUGGUCGAGAGCAGAUGAUGCCAUUGCUUGCGGUUGCCGGAUAGAGAUGCGAGGGGUUGUGGGCGCCGCCGGUGGCGGCCACGUCGAGGCCAGGCAUCGAUCCGUCGGGAGUCCGUGAGUGUCUCUGUUCUUGAAACUUCUUACGAUUAUAUCACAUGAAUUCCUUGUCCUGCUGUUCAUCUGUUCUUCCCUCUUCUUCCAUUUUUCUAGUGAUGAUUAGCUAAAGAUGUAUUGAUGUCUCAAAAAAAAAAGUGUCCAGGAUACCAUUCUGACGGCUUUUCUGUUAUAGGAUAGAAAUUGGAGCUCAAAUACCAUUCAAGAACUAAAAGUGACCAUGACGAUGAAUGCACGGUUUUUAUGAAUCUUUGUUUGUCAUAGUUCCUUGGUAGAAGCUUCACAGCUCCUAUCCAGAGCUCUCGGAUUUGUCCAAUUAAUCUGAACAAAGGUUGGAGCCGAAGGUUCUGAAGCAAGAAGUCUUAUCUAUGUCUCAAUCAUAUCUUCCAUAAAUUAAUACCAUAUGGUGUUUGAAACCUGUUCUUAGGCUGCUUUUCUAGUUGCUAAGUCAUUAUCUUUUUGAUGUGGGUCUUGCAGAUCUCUAGCCUCACAUGUUUUCUAGUUUCCUAGCAUCAUUGCCUAUUACCGGAUCUAGAUUCCCUUUCUUAGCUGCUGAAGACAACCCUAUAGUUCAAGUUAAUAGCAGACUUUUGGAGGCUGAUCGAGUCCUGUUAUCGAUGGGAAUCUUGCUAAUGUUUUUCUGAUCAGGCAAUCUGGAGUGAAUUAUAUAGUCUUAUUAACUAUGAGGGUUCCAAAUAGAUCAACUAAAAUAGCAACUAUUAAUGCAUCUUUGGCUUACUGUUUCUUGCCUCCUAUACUUUUCUGACAUCAGAUUGAAUUUUUUCUGUUUCCAAUUCUGGAAUAAUUUCAAUAGAGACUUUAGAUAGCAGGAAUGAACUGCCUAAAAGUUGAAAGUCCCUACUAGAACAUCAAAUCAACUAAAAAGAUUCAUCUUCAUCAAACUUAUAAUAAUCUGGCUGUAACUGCAUCCAACCUUGUCAAUGGUUGAAGCUAGCCCUCCACAAUCCAAGUUGAGAGCACACUUUUGAAAUUCUCUGAGUCUCUUUAUGAUAGGGAAUCUACAUAAUGUUUGCUGAUAGGCAAAACUGAGUUUAAUUUUAUAGUCCUAGACAACUGAGGGCACACUUAGUAUCUUCUCAAAAGAAAAAUAGAAAAGGUGCUGAUUUAUAUCUUUCAGCCUAAUGUUGUUGCCUCCUAAAUUUUUUUCACAUCAGAUCUAAUUUUGUUAUCAUCAUUUCUGGGAUAAUUUGGCUCAAGACCUGGAUGGGAGGAACAUAUAUGUGGAUAAGAUGUGGAACUAAUCAGAUGUUAUAGAAUAUCAAGUCGUAAAAAUAUAUUACUCAUCCUCAAACUGAUCAUAUUUAGAUGUUUGCAUGACAGAACACGGCAUUGUACUUACGAGUCUGAAAACUAUCACCUUAGCGUUGCAAGUGUUGAUCUCUUUGGUCUAUUGCGUCCUCAUCAUCAAGUCAUUUACUAAACAGCAAAUUUAGUGCUUUCUGAAACUUCUUUCUUAGUCUCAGCAGUUCCAUUUGGAAAGGUACUCUCCAUAUUUUGGAUGAUUUAAAAGCAAUUAAGUUUUAGAAAGCAGCAUCUUACAUAAAGUUGAUGUUGACCUUGUGUCUGUGGCUUUGAUCGAGUGUACCUCUUGCAAUGAACUUCUGAAAGUGGGACAAUAUUAUCAUUGCAGUUAGAAAAGAGUAAUCAGUAAGUCUCCCUAGUGGCUGAAACUAUGAACAAUGAUGGGAACUUGCAGAGUAGGAAAGCUAUGUCAUCAUGACAAACUACACCCUUUAUCAACAGACAUGAUAUUGGUAUUGGAGACCUACAUUUGACAUGGACGGUACCAGAUUUUAGCUUCUGUUAACAAAGUUGCGUAACAUUUCUUCUUAUCGUAUCAUACAUGCUUUGCUGGUAUCUCCAGCUUCUCUAAUUUAAUGUCUUCUAAUUCUAUAUUGAACAAUUAGUUUUUUUAAUCUUACCUAAUUUAGUAUCUGAUUUAUUGUUCUGAUUUACCCAUGUGGUCUUCCAUCCUGAUUUAGUGUUUACGGAAACAAAAGAAGGUCCCACAAGAGCAGUGACUUCAAACAAGCUGACAGGCCAUUCAACAAUCUUUUUACAGAGAGGAGUUCAGCCUGGAAGAUAUAUUCUUUGAAACUUGUCUUGAUAAUCAUUGUCUGUGGCACCUUUUUAACUCUUCUCCACCCUCCAGCAGCUUAUCAUAAUGAGCAUUCCUUGCAUGCUGGUUCUAGGUAAGUGCCUUCUGCCACUCUUCCUUUUCUUGCUGGAUUUUAAUCAUUAGACAUGCCUGAUGCUUAUUUUUAAGAACUGAUGAACAUGGUCCAUUUGCUUUAACUAUGAUUUGCUGGAAUCUAACUUAUUCCUGUCAAAUCUGCCACUGCUGAUCCAGGUUUAUGGAUGUUGGACGGAUUUGGGACAAAUCCAAACCUGAUUCGCGAUAUUUGUCGAAUUCAAAUGUUGAUUGGGCUCAAAUUUCAAAAUGUGCGGAAGCGAUGGACUCCAGUAAAGGAAAUAUGAAGAUUGGCUUACUAAAUUUUAACAUUUCUGAGAUCAACCAUUGGCACCAGCUCUUACCAAACGCAGGAUUUUCUGUCAUACAACUUGAUUAUGCAGAUAGUAAUAUUACUUGGGAUGUACUGUAUCCUGAAUGGAUUGACGAGGAAGAAGAAUCCGAGGUCCCCUCUUGUCCAAAACUUCCAGAACCGAAGUUCUCUAAAGGUUUCCGUUUUGACCUCAUCGCCGUCAAGCUUCCUUGCAGUAGCUCAGCCAGCUGGUCAAGAGAUGUUGCUCGGUUGCAUUUGCAGCUUACAGCUGCUAAGGUUGCUGCAGUUUCUUCAGGAGAUCAGUACCCUGUGCAUGUGCUUUUUGUGACCAGCUGUUUUCCAAUCCCAAACCUAUUUACAUGCAAGAACCUCGUCAUGCGAGAGGGAGAUAUGUGGUUAUACAAACCAGACCCGCAACUGUUAAAGGAGAAGUUACAGCUUCCUGUUGGAUCAUGUGAGCUCGCACUCCCACUUGAAGCAAAAGGUCAGUAUUUUAUUUCUUUUCUUUGGAUUGCUCUUUGGUAAGAAAUUGAAAUUUUAGGACUUUAACUUGAAAGGCUCAUUAAUAAGACUCAUUUUUACUGAAUCAAGUUGUCUAAUUUGAAAAAGAAACUCAUUUGAAUGUGCUCAUGCGCUUUCAAUAUUCUUUGCUCGAGUAUAAGAACUAAUUCUUUGUCAGUUUUCUUAGCAUUUGUUUUCUCCAAACUAGAAAACUAGAAUCAUUUUCUAACUGUUCACGCCGGAAGCUACUCUCAGCAACAAUAAAAAAUUGAAUAUCUAAGAAGGAUCAGCAUAGAAGAUUAGGUCAUCUGUUACAUGUAAACUGAACCAUUGGCAUCUGCUACUUAUAAAAUUCUUUAACAUUUAUCCUAAGUUAGUUUUUUUUAGAUAUAUUCACCUUUGACUCUUUGCAAUAACAGAGCGGCCGUUUUCCUAUACUCCUCACCGAGAAGCAUAUGCCACCAUUCUCCACUCUGCCAAUGUUUAUGUAUGUGGUGCUAUUGCUGCAGCCCAAAGUAUCCGUUUAGCAGGAUCAAAGAGAGACCUAGUUAUACUUGUUGAUGAAACAGUCAGUGAUCACCACAGAAGCGGUCUUGAAGCUGCAGGAUGGAAGAUAAAAACAAUCACCAGGAUCCGGAAUCCUAAGGCCGAGCAUGAUGCUUACAAUGAGUGGAAUUACAGCAAAUUCAGGCUCUGGCAGCUCACAGAGUAUGACAAGGUCAUAUUUAUCGAUGCUGACCUUCUUGUCCUGAGAAACAUCGAUUUCUUGUUCACUAUGCCUGAAAUCACUGCAACAGGGAACAAUGUAACAUUUUUCAACUCUGGUGUAAUGGUUAUUGAGCCUUCAAACUGCACAUUUCAGUUGUUAAUGGAUCAUAUCAAUGAGAUAGAGUCCUACAAUGGUGGGGAUCAGGGUUACUUGAAUGAAGUCUUUACAUGGUGGCACCGUAUACCAAGGCGCAUGAACUUCUUGAAGCAUUAUUGGAUUGGUGAUGAGAAGGAGAUUAAAGAGAUGAAGACUCAUUUGUUUGGUGCUGAUCCGCCAGUUCUUUAUGUUCUCCACUAUUUGGGUCUAAAGCCAUGGCUGUGUUUCCGGGACUAUGAUUGCAAUUGGAAUGUGGACAUAAUGCAGGAAUUCGCAAGUGAUGUGGCACACACAACAUGGUGGAAAGUGCACGAUGUGAUGCCGAAACACUUGCAGAGCUUCUGUCUUCUGAGAACAAAGCAAAAAGCUGCCUUGGAGUGGGAUCGGAGGCAGGCGAAGAAGGCAAAUUAUUCCGACGGCCAUUGGAGAAGAAAAAUAACUGACCCUCGUCUGAAAAAGUGUUUCGAAGAUUUUUGUUACUGGCAGAGCAUGUUGUGGCAUUGGGGUGAUCCCAACUGGUCAGAUGAGAACUUGACAUCCAACUCCCUUGCAAAACUACCCAGUUUAUAGUCUCUUCCCUUGUUCUUGCUUUCACUAUCUUGCUGAAUUCUUUCUCCAUAGGUAACUAGGUAUUUAGGUAGGCUGUUACCUCCAGAGUUCGACGAGAUGAUACCCGCAAAUAUUUUACAUAAAUUAGAGUAUAAAUAAGGACAUGCUGUUUUUGUUUUCCCUUGAUUUCAUGUUUAUUGGCAAGUUCAAUAAAAACAUUAGAUUUCAUUUCUGGAUUGUUCAUCUGGCGUGGAUAGAAUAGAUAAUGUUGCUUCGGAUAAUAUUGGUUUCUCUUCACUUUAAUGUUGCUUUGGUCGACUUGUCACAAAAUUUCUUGCUCGACAACUUAGAGCAUUUUUGUAGUACCAAAAAUACACUAAAUAAAAUUUGAUGGCCAAACUACAAAUGAUGUGUCUGUGUUUUUGCAACUACUAAAACUGGAGAGUUUAAUCACCUUUGAAAGGAAAAGACUCAAGCUUGUGUUAUCAAAGUGAUGUUAGCCAGUCUUCCUUGCUUGAUCUGCUUAACUCAUGUACAAGCUGAUGGCUACUGGAGAUUACACUGCAUUUUUCUGUUAAACGCAGGAAUCCAUCACAGCUUAAGAAAACUUCAAUGACCUUUUUCUUCAUGAGAAAUGGAUUCGGGGCCAGUGUCUUGCACACAAAAGAUAAACCAGGAUAACAAUCUCUCUCAAGAAACAUCAGUGGAUGUCAACAUUCUCUCUCAAGAAUUAUUCACUCGCGUCUGGCCCAUCAAUCUCUGUCAGGAGCCAAAUUGAUUGAUGAGAAUUAAUUCACCAUUUUCCCACUACAUGUUGAAGAACAGAAGAACAUUAUUGAUGCCCAUGGAAGAAGUUGGAAUCUGGAUAGCUGUUUGACAGCGAUGGUUGUCUACUUCUGCUUGCUAUCUUCGAUCUGAUAUCAUGCUUCCAGAUUUUUAUUUGGUGCAUGCGAUCUCGCAUCAUCUUACAGAUUUAAGGGCGAUUUAUUAUGAACAAUCUAUUCACCUCCCAAUCAUUAAACAUCAUACCUUUGUCCUUCCCCUGCCACCUUCCACCUUCCACCAUCCAUCAAGUCCUCUCUCACACAAAGUCUCAUCUUUUCCUCUCGAUCUUGACACGAGCACAAUUAUCACCUUACACAGGUACCACAAUUGAUCAAUGUAGACUGGAACUCCAAUCUCUUCAUGGUGACUGCUCCACUAUUGACCCUCAGACAUUAAUCAUCACAGGAUUGACGAGGCUGAAUGCUCUACCUAAUCCAAAGCACUAACUUCGCGUGUCAAGCUGCUGCUGGUCAUACAAACCACAGUCUGUCUGGUCUUUGUUCACUUCAAUCACCGGCAUGCCUCAUGGUCCCAUAGUCGGGUCAUCGUUAAUCAUCUACCCCCUCACAUUGUGUUCAAACUCAUCAUCUUCUGAAUCUGAUGCCUGCCAUGUUCUCAUUCCACUGGCUACCCAUUUUAAUUCUUCCACAAGAAUUGCCAUUUCUUCUUUGUUCGGCCAUGCCUGGAAUGAUAUGGACUGUUCAUGCUACCUACACGUGAAGGAUGCACUCUGUCGUUGAUCAGCCAAAUGACCAAAAAGCCAAAAAGGAGAGGAAAAGCCAAAGCUAAACAACGCACAGUAAGGUCCCAUGCUAUUAAAUUAGGCCAAAGAAGAGGGUAUCUGUUCUCUCAUUUCAUCAUUAGUUCAACACACCCGAAACACAUUGAGCCACUCACCCCCCACCUCUCC